GUCAUGCAGCUGCCUGGACUCAACACGUUGGGGAUCUCGUUGGCUCGCAUUGACUACGCACCAUUAGGUCAGAAUCCUCCACACACACACCCACGUGCCACUGAGAUCCUCACCGUGCUUGAGGGGACACUCUACGUCGGAUUUGUCACCUCCAACCAAGCUGACAGAAGCAACAAGCUAUUUGCCAAGGUUCUCAACAAGGGCGAUGUGUUUGUAUUCCCCCAAGGACUAAUCCACUUCCAGUUCAACCCAGUACAUGACAAGCCAGCAGUCGCCCUCGCUGCUCUAAGUAGCCAGAACCCUGGAGCUAUUACUAUUGCCAAUGCAGUCUUUGGAUCAAAGCCACCUAUCUCGGAUGAUGUCCUAGCUAAGGCCUUUCAGGUGCAAAAGGGGACAAUUGAUUGGCUUCAAGCUCAGUUCUGGGAGAACAACCACUACUGAAAAAAUCAAGUCUAAGUUCAACAUAUGAGAAUAAAGAAAUGUACUUGUAUUUUACAUACUACUCUAUGUGUCAACCUUUUUCUAGGUUGCGACUGAUAAUAAAAUAAAUGUUACUCUGUCAUACUAGAUAUGAAACAUUAACUUAGUUUAGUAAUACAUGAACAGUCGGUUAUUACGAAUUAAUCACUCCCCUACAUCUAUAGGAAAGGAUAAGUCCUAAAUUCAACUAGGAGUGACCAACAAAGCUCAUAUUUAUGACCAGGCAUGAGCUUGAGCGAAUUUUGGCAGAAUAACCCCAAUGUUCUCCAUUUACAUGCCUGAAAAUGCUGCAACAGAGAACAAAGGGGUUAUGCUUCUAAAAUUACGCACAAGCACAUGUCUUAUUACAAAUAUGAGCUCUGUCGGUCACUCUGAGGUUGUCCAAUAAAGGGACAAUCCUUCCCCAACAUACGUCACAUGCAUCCCACAUGAGGUGUGUUGGACCAAAACGAGUGAUGCGCAGAUUCGGCUCCAUUUGUUAACUCUAUGUUACACACAUUUACGCUACAUCCGUCGAUCAAUAUUAUAUAAUUCAACUAAUAAAACACUUAUACAAUGUUUUAUACUACAUAACAUUGUUUUGGGUGAAAAUAAUAUUAAAUGACCUUAUUUCCAAAGGUUUAAUAAUUACCAUUAGAAAUUACAUAUUUAAGUUAUUUAAGCACCCUAAAUGAACUAAAACAAUCUAAAUAAACUACAUAAUCACCAUUACGGUCGUCAAAUAUAUUCAACACACAUAUUUCAUACAAACAAUCAAUCAACGCAUGUAAUUAUAAAGCAAAUGGUCUUACUUCGGGAGGCAGGGCGAUGCUGUGGAAGGUGGGGAGGCGCUCUGGAAGGCGUGCGAUGGACGAGGCGACGCUGCGGGAGGUUGGCAGAGCUUCGGGAGGCGUGUGGUGGGUGGUCGUGCCCUGGCAGAUGGCGCUACGGGCGGUGGCGGCUUCGAUGGAGCUUCAGGAGGCGUAUGGUGGGUGGCAACGCCCCGACGGAUGGCGCUACGGGCGGCGACAGCUUCAGCUCUGGCGGACGUGGCAUCGACGAACGAGUGUGGGUGCGACUUCUACAUGGCAGUGAGGGCGGCGACGAUGAACAGCUUCGGCGGGGCAUGGAGCCGGGGAUGGGCCGAGAAAGGGCGUCGGUCACAGGCGAUGGUGGGGCGGUGACGACAGGUCAAGCGGAUGCAGCAUACAACAUGAGAGAGAGCGAGCGAGCACGUGUGGGGAGAGAAAGUGAAACGGCGUGGUCGGGCAUUGUUUCCUUAAAUCGACGUAUGUCUGACAACGUGUCUGGCAGCUGUGGGACAUAAGGAUUACUAGUCGGUUGUCCGUGCGUUGCGACGGCUCACAACAAUAACCACGUAAACUAUCCACCAAAAAGAUCUCAAGGUUUUUAUUGAUUGUCUCCGCUCUCCGCAUAAUAUUUUUUAUUUGACUAACUGAUGUUGUUGUUUACUCCAUCCAAUAUGUCUUGGUACAACACGACCAAUGAAGGGAGCGAUUAGUAGAAAUUUCACAAUGACCGAUUGAACGAAUAUAGAUUAUAGAAUGACAUAAUUCCACCAUACAUAGACCAAAUAAGAGGAAGUUUGUGAGCUCAAGUUUCUAAAAUAAGUCACAUGAACUCAAACUUAUAAAAAAGAUAGAUUAAAAUAUGGAUUGGUUGCUAAAGUCAGUCAUCAAUAAAAAUUGGAUGCGCUCUAUACAAAUUAUGGUACUUCAUAACAAUUACUAACGUUUGAAAUCAACAAAUAACCUUUCCUUUUAUUGCUAGCGUGACAAAUCAUUGUUGCUCCAUCCAAUUUAGCAACCUCAAACACCAUGGAGUCCAUUGCGCCAAUGUGGUCCCAGAAACGACCUAAUGCAUGCAAGAGCCAAGAACACAACGGACGGGCACCCUGUGAUAGUUCCCGCAUGGAUCUCCAAAUCCUAACACAUAUUUUGUAGGAUCCAUGAACCAUCAUAAGAAAAAUAGAAAUCAUGUGCAGACAAUAAAUAAAGUAUUAACACACCCAAAUUAUGUUCAAUCAUUAGCACAACAAAAAACUAACACCCAAAACAACAGCGAAACAACACAAUAUUUUUUGCAAUGACAGAAGGAUGGGUGACAAGUACAUAGAAGUGGUAGAAGCAUACUGAGUCGACACCGUGGUAAGGGAAAGGCCAUGUAGACAGGCGAUGCCGAGCCAUCGAACGGGUACCAGGCAGCAAAUCAGAGACCCCCAUCACUCGCCUCCCCCACUUCCAAGGUUUCGUAGAGCAGGAAGGGAAUGGAAGAGGUGGGCAUACCUGUUCGUUGCUGGAGAAGGACACAACAAAGACCUAGGCAUCUGGAGGCGACAUAGGUAGUAUACCGCUAGAUACAUAUAGGGAGAGAGCACACAAGCGGAGAAAAAAGGCUAGUCGGAGCGGCUCCAAACCGAGAGGCACCCACACUAGGCGUCAAUCUGAGAAGGGCGAGAGAAUGCGAGUGGCUUCCCAGCCCUGGACCCACCAAGGCGACACAACAACACCACCAACUCUGUAGCAUAUGUUGACUGCUAUCGUGCCACGGGCCUUGGUUGUCCAAUAUCUCAGACCUGGACUCCUCAUCGUCAAGAUAACCUAAGCGUGGCAGGCGCCACCGUGUCCUCCUCGGAGGUACGCACGAAGAAAGGCUAGGAGUAAGACCGACUCGCUCGUACUCGUGUCGACGAGCGUCGGUCGGCUCGCGGCUGCGACCGUGGGCGGGGGCAGUAGGUUGGGGAGGAAAAACAGGGUGAAGGACGGGAAGACGAACAGGAUGUCCGACGACUGCGAAAACGAUGGUGCGCACAUGCGGUGAAACGUCCUCGUGGACGUGCAAUAUCCAUUGCGUGGGUCGGUGUCGGGGCUGGUGUCGGACGAAUACGGGGAGGAGGUGCCUGCUCUCACGCCCUCUGUCGAGAAUGGGGUGGCGCGGAGACAGAGGCACGAGGGGAGACAGAAAAUAAGUAGGAUGGCGAACGAGGUCGCGACAACUGAGGCGAAGACCAUCAUUACCGUGUGGUGGUAUAGAUGGCCAAAUGGGUCGUGUCUGGUGGCCCGGCCCCGGUCACGACCAAUUUAAUAGUGCCUGGGCCAGUCCCGCACGACCGUCGUGCCAUGCUUGGGCUGUAGCCUCAGCCUGUAGUGCUGGCCCGACCCGGCAUGAUUAUUUUUUUUACAAAAAAUAAUAUAUACAUAUGUAGAAUUUAUAUUCAAUAUUAAAAACACCUGAGGAUAAUGUUCUACUGGUUAGAUAGCUUCACCCAGUGUCUCCCGCCCUUCUUCCAUUAGGGCGUGGGUUCGAACCCGCCUCCUGCAGCGUUUUUAACAUUUUACGUUGAUUUAACCAAAUGGUCCGACGGGCUAAUGAGCUGAGCCGGCAUGGUCAGCAGGACGGCGAGCCGUGCGUGUGCCGGAGCUGCGCGGAGGGGCAGGUAACCAUACGUGAAGAGGAAAUUGUGCAGAUUUUGCAACUGCACCAAGGAAUAAUAAAAAAGCACACAAAGUAGUAAGGAAUUAAUCCCAUUAUUAGAAUCCGGUUAUUAGUUAUUUUGAACAAAUCCCGAAACUCCAAACUACCCGUUAUCCAAAAAAACCUAAAAUUCCUAAAUCCCCUACACGAUUAGUUACAAAGUUUUUUGACAAGCACUCGCUGCAAUUGGCCGCGUAAACCAAAAGCCUAUCAAUAAAUAGGAACACAUCCCGACAAGUUCCCAAAAAAAUAAAUUUGCAUUAAAUUGGAACUAGUAACCAAUCCUAACAUGGAAGUAUGUAAAAAACUUAUAUAAACAAAAAAUCUCAAAUAUCGCAGCGGGUUAAUUUAAAAUAGAUGUGAGUGGUUAUUUGUAAAAAUAUGACGUGGGAUGACCGUUAAAACCGAGGCUUUAAUAGAGAUAGAGAUAGAGAUGUAUGACGAAGACAAGCCGUCAGAUAUUAUGUUAUGUCCGAUGGCCCAAGGAAACCGUUGGACAUUAGUAUUACUUCCGACUGGUGUCCGUGAGACCACGAAAAUUAGGCAAGCACAGUCGGAUGUUUUCUUUGUUUCAUGUUGUGCAUGAUAGGUAAUAAAAAAUUAUCUGCCAUUGCUAACCAUGACGAAAGAAUGAAGCUCGGUGUCGAAAGAAAAGCACAAUUUUAUUUGCCUUGACGUUUUUUUAUUGUAAGUUAUUGUAGUGGGAGUCCCUACAUUAUUUUUUAUAUCAAAGAAUGAGUAUCUAUAGGUUACAUGUGGGAUCGAGAGAGAGGUUACAAUGUUUGUGUCUAUAGACUAACAGAGGGUUUUGUUAUAUAACAGUUGAGCAUAGUAUCUCCCUCUUGAACAAUUCUUUACAAUUUUUUACAGUUCCUUAUAGUUUUAUUAUAUAACUUUUUCUGCAUUUCUAGAUACAUAAUUUUAUUUGUCUCGACGUUGACAAGUACAAUAGAGAUUAGAUUAAAUUGAACAGUUCUACUACAGUGAUAUAUGGUAAUUGAUCGCAGGGGGUCCGGCUAUUAGGGGGGAAUUAGGACCGGAGGUGGGAAUUAGGACCCUGUCAUGCUGGAGGUCAAGGAGUUGGUGCCCGCCGUACUAAGAAGAAGUCAAGUGCUUGCUUGAUCUAGCUAGUAAAACGUGUACGACACAUGUUGGUUUGGUGGAACUGACACAUAUUAUAUUCCACAAGACGAACAAGCAAAAAUGCUGUCAAAAGAAAAGCCAUAGUGGUUGAAGGACGAACCUGCCUGGUGAGUUGAAGGAACCUGCCCAGUGCACAACUCAAAAGAAAAGCCAUAGUUUUCACUAUGUCGAUGUCGACAAGUAAAUAGAGAUUAGAUUAUAUUAAACUGGACGUGGUUCUACCACAGUAGCAUAGUGGUUGAUCGGCAUGGGAAAACCUUCUACGGGGAAGAACGCUAUUAUCGCCAUUGCCAUUAGAACAGGAGGUGGAGGAUCAACGUAGUUGCAUUGCGACGGAACAUAAAUAUUCAAUAUAAUUUUAAAACACAGCAAUUACAUAAAAUGAACAAUUUAUAUAAUAUCACAGACCUCAAUAUCUCAUAAAUUCUCUGCAAAAAACCACUACAAAAUUAAAUUCGGGAUCCCGAGCGUCUCCUCCUAUCCCUCAACUGUUCAGCCACACAUCGUCGGUGGUGGCGUCUCCUCCUGCUCUCCCUCCGUUGUUCUUAUCUCGUUACCUACAGAUGCGUGUGGUGGUAGAGAGUCGCGGCAGUGGUUCGAGGCACUUGCCGAUAGAGGAAGAUAAAGACGGCACCGCGUGCGGGAUGCGACGGUGAUGACUAGUGAGUUGGACUCUAAAAAGAUGAUCUCUACUUGAUGUCUUCUAUGGUGGUGUGAAAGAAUUUGGAUGAGGGUGGUGGAGACAGAGAAAGAGAUGGAAAGUUGAGGGUUAAUAUACGACGACAACAUUGAGGAGGAAGGCGUGAUUGGUUACACAUGCAAGCAAGAGAUAAGUCUUAUCCACUAGUAGAAAAGAGCUCAAAACCUGCGGUGGGAUUUAAUUUUUACAGACGGAUUCGGUUAUCAUCCGUCAGUGCUAUUUCUAGUGACGGUUCCUUAAAAAACCGGUACUAGAAAUCAUAUUUCUACAUGCGAUUUGUUAAGAAAACCAAAUGUGGAAAUCUAUUAUUUCUAGUGGCGGUUUUCUUAAGAAACUGCCACUAGAAAUCAUUUUUAUCCUUAUUUUCUUGAGUUUUUCAAACGACCUUGGAUGAUAAACCACCAAUAUAAAAGUUGUAGAUCUUGAAAAGUUAUGAAACCUUGUAGUUGACAACUUUUUAAAUUGAAAUCAUCUCAGCUCUCAAAAAUUGCAUUCGAAUUUGUCAAAUUCAAAAUGCAAUUUUUUGCAAACGACCUUGGAUGGAAAAAUAUCAAGAUAAAAUUGUAGAACUUCAAAAGUUAUGAAAUUAUGUAGUUGACAAUGUUUUCAAUUGAAUUCGUUUACAGCCUCAAAUAGUCAAUUUAUACUCGGAAUGUUCUAAUAUGUGAGCAACAAAACUGCAAUAUAGACACAAGGCACGUCAUAGGUGGAGUGGUAGAGGAUAUUUUAUGUUUCCUAGAAAAGAUUUUCACUAGCGGUUUUAUUACCUCGACUGCCAGUGAAAAUCGAUUUUCACUAGCGGUUUUACUAGCCCGACCGCUAGUGGAAAUCGAUUUCCACUGGCGGUUCUCAGUUACCCGUCUGUACAAAUAAUUUUAAAGAAACUGGUACAAUGUUCGUCGUUGCGACAACACACAAUCAUAUUUGAUAACUAUAAAAAUAAAUUUAAUAUCAAAGUGCGCAUAUGGUCCACAUAUUAGAUAUUAAACCGAUAAAAAACAAAUAUUAUAAUUUAUCUUAGUGACAACAUUUUAACUUACACGUGACGACGUUUUCAUGUACUAGUUAAUGAUAAAAAUAAAUAAUUACCUUAUCAAAAGAUCACUCAUUGUACAAAUAUGUUUAUUUUGAUGUACAUAUUAUGAUUUCUUACAUCUGACAAUGUGUAGAAGUAACAAUGUUUUACAUUAAUAACAUAUGAAGUGAUGUCACUUAUUGUAGAAGUGACAAGGUGGCCUCCUACGCCUCCUUGUGGUCCCUCUCGGCCACAUGUUUAAGCUAAAAGGCAAUGAUGGGGAAGGUGCGUCAGAGCCCGGCGAGGGUGUGCAACAUGAGCUUGGUGCCGGAGGGGUUGACCUACGAACAUUAUUAUAGGUCGGUGAGCGCGGUGGACGGGGUGGCGCUAGCGCGACAUGCACGGAGGGUCGUUGGCGACCAUGCGCGGCAUGCAUGGAGUUUGUUUGGAGCGUGGUGGCGGGUCGCAGCCGUGGCAUCCGAUCAUCUGUUCCGUUGAGCCUCAGGGUGGGGGCAACGUUUGGGGCGGGCCGCAAUGACACCUGGUCUCGUGCGUCGUUGGCGACGACAAAAUCGAGGCUGGGGCGCCGUCAGCGGAGGCGAUGGGAUGGGGCCAAGGUUGCUUGGUGAUCGGGGCAGGGGAUCGGGUUCUAUUGUUUUUGGGGCUGGGGCAGGGGAUCGGGUCUCGUUGUUUUCGGGGCCGGGGCGGGGGAUCGGGUCCCGUUGUUUUCGGGGCCGGGACUGCGGGAUUGGGGCGCGCGGGAUCGUUCGGAUGGUGGGCAAAUCAGACGGCUUAGAUUGCAUAACGGUACAAUGGACGGUUGAGUUUGCGUAACGGUAGAACGGUUGGGAGGCAGCCUACCCCUUGCAGCCUUAAUAAGUAGUAGAGAUUAUACGACGGUAUGAUGGUGCACUUUCCCUUUGUUGACUUCUCUUCGUCUUCUUUUUUUGGGGGGGGUGGGAGUUGACUCUUUCUAUAUACAUUGGUGAUUAGUGAGCACACGAAUAGUUGGUCUCUUCGCUUCUUAGUUGGUCUCCUCAGCUGGUCUCUUUCAACGUGCUCCUUGAUUUGUUUUUUAAUGACAAAUAACAGUGUUUGUGUUGGUUCAUUGCACAACCACAAACGUACAUAGAAAUAGUCAACUCACAAAAAUUAUAGAAAUAGUCAGCAAUGCUUGUUGCCUUGUGGAAUAUAUAUCUGUCAGCUCCACACCAAACGAACUUGUGUCUUACAAGUUUUACUAGAUCAAGCACUUGAUUGCUUCUUAAUACGUAGCUUUACACUAAUACGUGAAGGACAGGAUGGCUUAGCAUCAUAUAAAAUACAGAGCAGUUUUCCCUUGUCGGUCUUUUUUUUGCUAGAUAUAUAUUUAACUCUCCCCCAUUCAGGCUAUCGCUAGCAGCUUCCCUAUGUCACCUCCUAUCGUCUCACUCUAUUUCGAACUUCACUAUAUAAACAGUACAAUCAAUCUAUAGUACGAAACAGUGUUUUGCACGGUCAUAUACACGCUCUGCUGAGCACGGCCACAUCGAUCACCCGUCGUCACAAUGACUUUUUUUUGUCAAUUAUAUGACAUAAAGUACUCGGCAAAGAGAUCGUUGCCAAUAAACUGUUCAUCACACUCGACAAAGCAUUUGCCAACUGUCAUUGAGGCUUUGAUGAGUGCCGCAUACACUCCGCAAAGAACAUUGUUCCGGUAGUGGUUGUUACAGUUGGUUUGGUGUGAAACUGAAAAUGUAUAUAUUCCACAAUUUGCAAAAGCAAAAAAAAUGGUGAACAAGCUAGUAACCAUUGCAAACAUUAAUCUGUUAUAUAUGACUCGUCAAGUGAUCACGGAUGAUGAAACGGAGAUUGUUGGAUAUAGUUACGACUAUAUGAGGUGCUGUCCUUUGGUUCGUAUAUUUGUAAUGUGAUAUGUAAUUGGUAACGUUAAAUUAUAUUUGUUUAAUUAUUAAAAUAGAAAAUGAUACCGACUUAUUUAAACUUAUUACUGUUGGUAACUGAGCGUGAAUCAUUAUCAUUAUUACAAUUUACAUUAUAUUUCGUGGACUAAAUGACAGAAGAUAUUAUACGACGGUGGUGCACUUUGGUGGGGGGAUUUGACUCUUUCUAUAUACGUUGGUGUGAGCACAAGAAUAGAUCGUUCCAUGAACCAUUAUGACAGUCCAGCCACAGCAACAAAUUUGUCUUCUCAUCUACGAGAUGGGGUAGAAAUGGAUGUCCAAUCGUCCGUUUUUUAUAUGUAUCCAUCGACGGAUCCUCCAUUAUUUUGCAGUUUAUUAACAAUUUAAAAUUUUGGAUCACUAACCAUCUGAAUGGCUUGUCGCAUCGUCUCGUCCUGCGUCACUGCGUGCAUUGACUUGAUCUGAAAAUUUGUUUGAUUGCCUCUAUAUGUGGAGCAUGAGUUGUACAAGUAGAUAUAAAACAAAUUAUUUUGAGGUCUUUUGGCUGCAUCCACUCAUACGGCAAAAAUACUCGUUUCUGAUCAGCCUAGAUCGGGCGAGCGUGGUACGAUCGUCCAGCUAACCAAUCAGCCGGUAAGGGAUUACUAUAAAUCUUCAAUACGCAGUUCGCUGGUACCUAGCCACUCAAAUACACAAAAAGAAAAGAAAUAACACAUAAAAGGCAUCGUAGGUUUAAACCGCUGAAAUAAGAUAACUCUAUUGUGUCGUCAUCAGCAGGUUCAGGUUGCUAGAGACUAUUUCUCCAGGUCGGUUGAUAGGUUCAACCAAAGACUUGUUCAGCUAUUAAUACGUACACGUCGCAACAUGCGCUCGGGCAGGCUAUAUAAACCUCACCGUCCCCAUGCCCAAAGCAUCAACAACCAUAGACACAAACACAACAAGCUAAUAAGAAGCUAGGUAGCUGAAUAUUAAGAGAGCACAAACACAAACGCGAGUGCAAAACCAAAUGGCUGCCUCGACCUACUUCCUUCUUGUUGCUUUUCUAGCAUUGGUCACUUCUCAUGCCAUUGCUUCUGAUCCUAGCCCGCUCCAAGACUUCUGUGUUGCCGACAAAGACUCUCCGGGUAUGCGUGCUCUCGUCUUGACUUAUGCUGUGUUCUUAUAAUAAUACAUGAUUAAAUAAGGUUCAUUUAAUUUGUUCAAAUCACAUCUACAUACAAUAAGCAUUUCUAGUUAUGCAUGGCCCAAUGGCCUAUUCUCCAUCUAAUUGCUCACCUUCGUCAAUGCAUACAGUCAAGGUGAAUGGAUUUGUUUGCAAGGAUCCCAUGGCUGUGAACGCUGACGACUUCUUCAAGGCUGCAAAACUUGACCAGCCAAGGGACACCACCAAGAGCAAGGUGGGAUCCAACGUUACUUUGAUCAAUGUCUUGCAGCUGCCUGGACUCAAUACGUUGGGCAUCUCGUUGGCUCGCAUUGACUAUGCGCCCUUAGGACAGAAUCCUCCACACACACACCCACGUGCCACGGAGAUCCUCACCGUGCUUGAGGGGACACUCUACGUCGGAUUUGUCACCUCCAACCAAGCUGACAGAAGUAACAAGCUAUUUGCCAAGGUUCUCAACAAGGGCGAUGUGUUUGUAUUCCCCCAAGGACUAAUCCACUUCCAGUUCAACCCGAUCCAUGACAAGCCAGCAGUCGCGCUCGCUGCUCUAAGUAGCGAGAACCCUGGAGCUAUUACUAUUGCCAAUGCAGUCUUUGGAUCAAAGCCAUCUAUCUCGGAUGAUGUCCUAGCUAAGGCAUUUCAGGUGCAAAAGGGUACAAUUGAUUGGCUUCAAGCUCAAUUUUGGGAGAACAACCACUAUUGAAAAAUAAAUCAAGUUAUGGUUCAUUGUAUGGGGAUAUAAUGAUUUAUUUAUAUUUUACAUACUACUCUAUGUAUUUAUUUUUCUAGACUUUCAGCUGAUAAUAAAAUAAAUGGAUUGUAUUUAUGAACUAUAAUUGUAAUGUGUCCCAAUUGUGGUUCUACCACCAUGUCCUUAAUCGAAAGUGCAUGUAAUGUAUAUGGCACUCUCUCGUUUCCCAUUUUAUUGAGAUGGUUCAUAUAUUAAGCCAUCUCUAGAACGAUUGACAUAAUUACACCACUCCUAAAAUUCCACUAUUAUCAGGAAUGAUUAUCAUAAAAGAACUGUCCUUAAAGAUCACAUUUCAUGGGUGGAUUCUUAUGCCAACCGUUCCUGAAAAAUAGAAGAUUUCUACUCAAAAGGUGCUAGCUAGCAUGUUUGAGGACCAAAAAAAUUCAUAGAUUUUCAAAUAUAGUCAUUAAGUGACAAGCUUUAUAUCAAAUUUGUAAAGCCCAACAAUAUCUAAAACUUUAUAGGUAACAACUUUUUAUUUAAGACCAUUUAUAUACCUAAAUAUAUGUUUUGUCUUCGAAGAGUUGAAAAUUCAGAAUUUCAAAUUUCAUUUCUAGUGGCAGUGGGCUUUCAUUUUCCACCGUCAACACUUCUAUAAAAAAACUCUUAUAUAAUUAUAUAGUGGUUUGAUAUUUUUAUACAUGGCAUACCAGUAAUAUAAAUUCAACAUUAUGCUUAAUUGGUCUCUGUAAUACCCACUUUGUAAGAAAAACCUAAAAAGAGAAAUUUCAUUCCUUCAUAUAUGUGUGUCAUCUUUAUUUAUCAUUUCAUGUGGACACGCCACUUAACCAGAAUAAAUGGUUAACAAAAGACACUCAAAUAACUUGUGCAUCCUUUGGAGUUUUGUUUGCUUGUGCAUUAAAAUAAUUACAAUAAUAAUGCUAGUAGAAAUAAAACAAUGACUUGAGAUGAAGUUUGAAUCCUAAAUUGAGAAUUAGGGUUUGAAAUAGAGAAGGAAAGAGAAAAAUACUAUACAAUACAAAAAUAAAUUUAUAAAUAGAUAAAUUUAUUCCACAAUAAUUAUUCAAAUCAUAUACUCAGAAAUUUGAGUACAAGUUCACCACAAAUUUGAAAUUCAAAUUUAGAUUCAAAAAUAAGAAUGAAAAGAAAAUGAAUCAAAAAAGGAAAAUAAAAAGAAAAGAAUAAAGACACCUAACUGGGCCGCUAGGCGGUAUUUCGGCCCGUUCACUGUUACUUCGCGCGGCUCGUCACUUCGUGGAGGCGUGCUAACACGUGAGGCCAUCUGGCCAGCCACACACCGCGCGAUACAGCAGCGUUGGCUCGCGCCGACACAUGGGACCAUCUGGGCAGCCACCCACGCACGAACCCGCGGACGCCACGGUCACCUGCCCCACCUGUCAGAGAACACGAUGGAUCUUCUUCGUUCCGCCAUUGUCGCGCUGACCAGCGACAAUCGCGCCACUCCGCCGUUUUCUGGGGGGUUGUUGGACUGGAGCACCCGAGCUAUAAGGACCGGCUCCGGAUGCGGUUCCCCACCUUUGCCUACUCGUCGCGCCCCAACCAUUGAGCUCAGUGAGGGAGAGAGAGAAUCACUUCGCCGCCGUCCUUGGGCCGCCACCGGGAAUCCUCGCACCGCGAACACACCAUCUGCGAAAUUCGGGCCCGAGGCUUCAUGUUUUUGCGAGGAAUACAUGUGUGGUGUUGCGGUGACUGGGGUACCGUCGGUGCGCUUAGAAUCACUCGCCGGUGUUCUUCCCCCGCGUCACGUGGACAACUGCCUCCACACCAUCAAUCGUCGUCGGGUAACUACUCUACUUGCCAAACUUUGUCUUCGCUACGUGUAUUCCGGUUUAGAUCGAAGCUUUAGGCGCGGGAUCAGGUAAUGGGGGAUUCCGGCGAUGGCGCUCCGCCGUGGUGGCCCUGGUCUUCCCUCCGGCCGUCGUCUAGGUGUAGGAGACGUUUUAGCCACUGUAACCUGUUAGAUGUGCGGCUCAGAUUGGAAAUCAGUUACCGAUUCGGACACGUUCGCCUGAGACCGUCGAUUAGAGAUCCGAGGGUAGGGAUCGGAUAUGGGCAUUGUAAAACCCUAGCUGUUGAUCUGUCAACAUACGCCCAGGAUCAGAGGGGGAAAUACAUCGUUUCAUUUAAUUAAAUCAGCGCCGUUGAUUCCCAAUCCAACGCAUAGCAUUGCAUACGGAUUCAGGUGUGGGCUUGAUCUAAUCGGAACCCUCGGUUGUCGAUCGGACGGCUCUGACGAAGGAUACCCCUUCGGCCCUGUAAAACUGCAAAAGAGACCCUAUGCUAUUUUAGAUUCAACCCGUCGUCCAUUUGUGGGGUGCUCUGUGUCUUAGAGAUUUUUACCCCGAGACCCCUGAGUUCCUCUGGUUUUGUGCGCCUAGCCCAUGAGAGUAAGAAAUCCAGGAAAUUAAAUAGAAAAUAGAUUUUUAAUAUAUAAAUAAGUGCUAGAACUUGUAAAAUUCAUAGAAAAUUCAUUUUUAGUCCAAAUUACUCCAUUCCAGUUUCUAAAAUUUUGUAAUAUUAUUUUCUAUCACUUAGAGUCUCUGUUUUGACAUGAAAACAGUAAGAAAAUUUAUUUUAGAGAUGGCAAUGGGUACCCGAAACCCGAAUACCCGACGGGUUUUAUCCGAUAUGAAGGCGGGUACGGGAUAAUUUCUCUACCCGCGGGUAUGUUAAUGGGUAAAAACCUCUACCCGUUGGGUAGACGGGUACGGGUAUGGGUUGGUACUACCCAUACCCGUCUACCCGUGGGUAAAAUAUACCCGCAUCAAUAGCACUAUAAACAUCUAAUAGAGUCCAACUUAGCUAGAAUAAAACUCUUCUCUAGUUAUCAUUUGUCUAGAUACCAAGUUAUGUAAUCAUAUGAUUUGUUAUAUGUAAAAUUGAAGUUGUUUUUAUAUGUUUAUUUAAUAUUUUGAGUGAUUGGUAUAUUGGAAUUUAAUUCUUUCCUAGCGGGUACGGGUUACCCGACAGGUAAAAAUACCCGCGCGGGUACGGGUAUGGGUAAGAUUUUAUACCCGCGAGUAUAUAUGGGUAACCCGACGGGCAGAAUUUUUUUUGAUGGGUACGGGUAUGGAAUGAUACUACCCGACGGGUAUGUACCCGUUGCCAUCCCUAAUUUAUUUCUCAUUUAAUCCUAUUUUAAGCAUAUAAAACCUUUGGAAAUUCAUAACUUAAAAUCUAUAACUCCAAAAUUUAUGAUUCCUAUUCCUAGGAUUUUAUUUUAAUGUGUAGAUUAUUAUUAUGUAUUUUUUUACAAGUUUGGUGUGAUGUUAAUUUUCUCUAUAUACUGUGCUUGUUUGUAUUGUGGCGAGUAGAAGAGCCUGUGACUGAGGAUCCUGGUGCCCAGCAGAUAGAAGUUGCUGAGCAGGAGCUCAUUGAAGACAAGUUGUGCCCUUGACCACUUUUUACCCAAUAAUGUUCUUUAAUAUCACUUAUUCAUGCAUAGGUUUGACCCAAUAGGUCACCCUAGUAUGUUUAUCCAUUUUACCUUGUUUACCCCUGAAUCAUUUGGGUAGUUAUGCUAUUGCCUCACAUGGUUUUGGGUUAAUAUUUCAUUAUAUACAUGUUCCAAUUAUUUUGUUAUUCUAUUUAUGUUCAUGUCAAGAUCAUUAAUAUUAAUUGGAACAUGGAGCUUAACUUGAGAAACACGUGCCACCACAAGGGUGGAAUGGGACACCCUUGGCUGACUAAUUAGGAAAGCUAGUGGAAGACUACCUUACCCGAAAGGGGCAAGGGCAGUAGGAGAGUUGCAUGCAAGGAGGUUCUUGGGUUGAUUUUUCUGCGAUGGCGGUCAGACGAGGAUUCUUGCAGAUGCCCUUCCCAUAAACUGUAGCGGGUUUUCGGAAGCUAGUGGAACUUUGUAAAGGCCUCGUAGUGUUUCCCUGCCUCGCUUCCUUGGUAGAGGUGUAUGGGAGUCGCGAUCCCUUGGUAGAUGGGUAACAUGACUUGUGGGUACAGGGUACAACCUCUGCAGAGUGUAAAACUGGUAUACUAGCCGAGCUCACGGUCAUGAGCAGCUCAGGACUUAAAUUCAAUUUGUCAUUUGCAUUGCAUGAGAUUAUUUAUUAAUUUUGUUCUAUUACUUUUAUUAUGGUUUGGUAUUUACUUACAUCUAGUAACUGCUAAUAAAAAUUUGACCAACUAAUUAAAAGCAAUGCUCAGCUUUAACCCUAUUGUUGAUCAGCCUUACACAUCACAUGAACUCCCACCUUUGGUGAGUUCAUGCCCACUGGUUUCCCCACAACUUGUUGAGCUAUGAUCAUGUGUGAGCUCACCCUUGCUGUCUCAAACCCCCCACAGGAGAAGAACAGGUGGUUCAAGAGGAGUCACACUGAGUAGUUUGAUCUGAUCUAGGUGGCGUUUCCCAGUUGACUUUUGGCGCCAAGGAUGAUCCUUAGUUCGUUUUAUAUUUAUCUUUUAUUUUGUAAUAAGACUUCCACUAUGUAAUAAAUAGUCUGAUGUUAUUGUGACAUUUAUCUCUAUACACUCUGUUAUUAUAUAUGUUGUCUUCUUAGCGCAUGUAUGAGAUACACCCGACUUUGUUCCUUAAAGCCCGGGUGUUACAGAAGUGGUGUCAGAAGAAAUGUUGACUGUAGGACGAAACCUAGUUAGUAAUGGACAAAACCUUUACCUCCUUACCUUACUCUGAUUCAUUCUAUACUUAUCUUAUCUUGAUCCUGUCUCACCUUUUGUUGUCAUACUCUGAUUACUCUUAUCUUUUCUACUCUAAGAUAAGGUGGAUUUCACACCUUGGGAUCCUACAAUUUAUGAACUUUUUAAGAGAUAGGGAACCUAAGACGAAAUUAAAACUAUUUUCUCUAUUUAAAAAUGUUGGUUGAUUGUUCUGAUGAUAAAUGCCUUAUUUGCUUUUUGAUUGAUUGAAAUAUUAUAAAUGGACAUCUUAGCAUGUACCACCGUAAGGUAAUGAAUUAGCUUUGGUAGGUAAAACAUUAAUCUGCUUAGCUAAUAAAUCCCCUAAAGUAACAUGCCUCGUAAUCACCUGCCUUGUCUACAAUCCUUUCUCUCUUACCAUAUGUUUCUAACUCAGAUGGUCAAUACCAGGAAGGGUGGUGGAAUUGAUCUACCUCCCAAUCAACACACUCGGAGGAUAUUUAGACAACCACAGCAACAACAACUUGAGAUGGAUCCUCCACCACCUCCACCAGCAGGAGUUGACCCAACUGUUGCAACACAGAUGAGGAUAAUGCAACAAAUGGCUGACACUAUGGCGGAUAUGCACGCGCAGAUGCGGCAGGAGCACCAGGAGAUGCGCCAAGAGCGAGAAUAUAUACGACAGGAGAUGCGCCAAGAGCGAGAGGAGAUACGCCAGGAGAGAAGGACGCAGCAGCAACAACAAUAGCAACAGCAACAUCAACAAGCACUACUGCCUCCACCUCCACCACCAGUUCCACCCCGGGACAAGCACCGGGAGUUCAUGAGUCAUAAGCCACCGACAUUCGCUAGUUCUCCUGAUCCACUGGACGCUAAUGAUUGGAUGAAGUCUAUGGAAAAGAUGUUGAUUAUCGCACAAUGCUCUGACCGAGAUAAGGUUCUAUAUGCUUCUGGACGUCUCACAGGUCCCGCUGCUGAUUGGUGGGAUUCAUACACUGCUGCCCACGAUGCUGCUGAUACUAUAUCACAUGGGCGGAGUUCGCUACGCAGUUUAGGAACUAUCAUAUACCAGCUGGACUGAUGAAGAUUAAGAAGAAAGAAUUUCUAUCGCUGAAGCAGGGGAACAUGUCAGUCAGCGAGUACCGCGAUAAGUUCAUCUAGCUACCUAGAUAUGCACCUGAUGAAGUUGCUGAAGAUGAGAGGAAGCAGGAGCAUUUUAUUGAAGGACUCAAUGGACCUCUGCAGUAUGCUCUAGUGGCACAUACAUUUCCAUCAUUUCAGAGGCUGCUUGACAAGGCCCUAGCUAUUGAACACAAGCGUGUUCAUCUAGGAGAUUUGAAGAGGAAGGCUAUAUCCCAAGGACAAGGAAGCAGCAGUGUUCGACCUCGCUACAGUUCACCCCAGGGUACACUAGUUCGCACUGGCGGAGGCCAGCGCCCAGCUCAGCACUCACCUCAGGGGACUCCACUGACUCGUCAGGCUACCCCCACUGGCACCCCGACGAAAUUUUCAGGACAGAGUGCAGGCACUACUUGCUACAAGUGUGGAAAGACUGGACAUUAUGCAAAUGUUUGCCCACAAAGGAUUGCUACUACCCCAGUUCAGAAUAAGCAACAGACUCCAGGAUCUGGCAAGGGAUUCUCUAUUGCCAGGGUUAAUCAAGUCAGCGUUGACGCUACUCCUGAUGGAGCUGACAUUGCACUUGGUAUAUUUUACAUUAAUGCAAUUCCUGCAACAAUAUUAUUUGAUUCUGGUGCUACACAUUCAUUCAUGUCUGCUCGAUAUGCCAAUACAAAUGAGUUACCACUGAAAAAUAUGAAAACACCAAUGAUAGUAAUUAUAACGCCCCGAAUUUUAGAGUUGAAUUUUUUCUUUCUCCAGCACUCAUCAAAUUUGGGCGUUACCUUUCCUAUUUUUCUUUUCACCUCGCCAUGCCUCGUUCUUUUUCAAAAUUCUAAAGAGAGUUAACUCUAUGUCGUGUAUUAAUAAAACCUAGAAGUGGAUUUUUCUUGGGUUGUUGCAUCAUGCUGGGCCACACAUCUAUCCUUUUGUGUGUAUUUGCUUGGUUUCCGUGAAGUAUUCAUUUAUUAAGAGUUUAGAAUUAAAUAGAAAAUAGGAAAAACCACCAAAAAACCCUCCCUCCAUUCCCUGCCGGCCUUUUGGCCCGUGGUGCGGCCCUGGCCUCUUUGGGCCUGCGGCGUGGCCCACCUGGCGCACCCCCCGCUUCCCCGUGGCCUGCUUUCCCCCUCUCUCCCCUUCGUGUCUUGGGCUGGCGUCCCGUGGCCCAGCAGCUCUUCCCCCCCCCCCGCACGGCUCGCUGCCUCUUCCCUUGGCGCGGCCCAGCCCCCCACGCCCGGCCCCUUCCCCCCUACUUUCAGCCUGCUGCGCGGCGCGCUCGCCCGGUCGGUGCGGGCAUGGCGGUUGCCCAGCUGCCGCCGCCACCACCCAGUGGGGCCCACCUGUAAGUCUUAGAGAAAUCGCCCCCUGUUCAUCUCUCUCUCGCCCACGACGCGCGUUUCUCCCUCCCCUCACGCAGUUCGCUCGCCCGAUGCCCUCUUUCUCUCCUCCCAUCGCCCAGCCAUGCCCGUCCGCGCCGCCAUGCCCGUCCGCGCUGCCAUGCCCGUCCGCGCCGUCGUCGCCAUGCCCGUCCGCCGCCAUGCCCGUCGUCGCCGCCAUGCCCGUCCGCCGCCAUGCCCGUCGUCGCAUCGCCCCAUCUCCCCUUCCUCGUCCCCUCCGCCCCAUCUCCCUCCUCCCUGUGCCCGCGGCGCGGCCUGGAGCUCGGCCCGCGCGCGCAGUGCCCCAGCCUCGGCGCGAUGCGCGGCACGGCCAUGGCAUCCCGCCCGGAGCGGCACGGUCGGCCCCGCUACCUGCGCGGUCCGGCUCGGCCCCCGGCGCGGCCCCGCUACCUGCGCAUGGCGCGGUCAGCCCCUGGCGUGGCCCCUGCUGCCUGCGCGCGGCGUGCCCGGUGCGACCCCUCUCCUGCUCGUGGCGCGCAGCGCGGCGUACGCGUGGCUCGGCCCCGACGCGGUUUGUUCGCGGCGUGCGCAGCGCGGCCUGCUCGCGCUCAGCCCCCGGCGCGGCCCCGUCCCGCGCACGGCGUCUUGGCGCAGUUCGUCGUGCUCCUGGCGCGACGCGUAGCGCUCCGCCACACAUGUGACGUGCCCGUCUACCCCUAGACGAGCCUGUCUACCCCUAGACCACCCCGUCUACCCCCAUGUAUUUUAUGCGCGUUGAGCGUGUCGUUUAUUUUAUGUAGUUGAACUCCACUUAGAAUUGACCAUGUUAAUUAUCUCACGUAGUUAAAUGACGACUUAAGUAAUGUCGGCCAAUUGGAACAAUUGUAACUCUGUUAGUGUAUGUGAUUAAUAUCUGUUAGUAUGGCUAGAUAGAGUUAGACGAUGUAAUAAUUAAUUGCACACCUACACGUAAUACGUCUCGACUAUAGCUUUAACCACUGCGAGUCCCUUCUUUUUCUCUUUCUAGUAAUUGUGAAUGCAAAUCGUAUGUCAUAUACAUGUUCAAUUGAUCUGCUCUCUUGUAUGGUGUACUGUUUAUUUCCUAAUUCAAAGAGAUGGAUGUAUGUUUGCACUCGCAUAGAUAACGAUCUGGUUGAGGAGUCCGAAGAACUCGCAGGAGAAGACCCUGAGCAGCAGCUGGUUGGUGGAGGCAAGUGUCCCUUGACCCACUUAUGUUUUAUACAUUCCUUAAUUCACUUUCCGCAUUUACACAGUUUAUACCUAAGGAUUGACUAGCUUUUGUUAUUCAUGUCCUUGCUUACCUAUUUGGGUUGGAUUAUUCUGGUUUAGCUUCAUGCUAGUGCUUCACAUUAAUCAAUGAACAUGAUGAGAUUUAUCAAUGAUAUGUUAUUUCCCUUUUUUAUUAUGAUGAUAUACUUGUGGCAUUUAAGGGGACUCGAGCGGUUUCUCGAGUGCCUCUCCGUAAGGACCUGUUCGUUGGAUAACCGCCUGGGAAAACAGUGCAACCAUGAGGGUGGAAUGGGACGCCCUUAGCUGAAUAAUUAGAGGAACCGGGGUGUAGUUCGCUUCGCCGUCGUGCGUUAAUGGGGCUCGGUGUAUGCGGCUUGCUCUGCCAAGGUUGGUUCGCCCCUUGCGGAGGAGUGCGGUGUAUUUAGGAAACCUAACGGGCGGCUACAGCCUCGGGGAAUCUUUGUAAAGGCUUCGUAGUGAUGCCCUGCUUGGCCACCUAGGUAGUGGUCAAUGGGGAGUAGCUCUCUCCGGGUAGAAAGGGAAUCACGACUUGUGGGUAAAGUGCGCAACCUCUGCAGAGUGUUAUGAAACUGAUAUAUCAGCUGUGCUCGUGGUUAUGAGUGGCCAAGGGAGCUCCAUUGAUUAGAGAUACUUGAUCAGAGAUGUUUGGAUUACAGGUGGUGAUGAGAAUGAUGGUUUUGGUAUUGACUAUGGUAAUGGUAAGUGGUAUUCUUUCCAUUUGGAAAGGGUACAUUUGGGUUAAUAACUUGGGUUAAUGCUAAAACCUGGCUCUCUACUAGUAAUAAUAAUCUGACCAACUAAAAGCAAUUGCUUGACUUACCCCCACAUAAAGCUAGUCCACUAUAGCCAAACAGGACAUUUGCUGAGUAUGUUGAUGUGUACUCACCCUUGCUCUACACACCACCCCCCCCCCCCGUCCCCAGGUUGUCCAUGUUGCAACCACUGCUCAGGAGAAGAUGAAGCCGUGGAGGAAGACUUCCAGGAGUUCCAAGAUUACGAUGAGUUUUAGGCGUGGGUUAGCCGCAACCCCCAGUCGGUUGCUUGUGAAGGCCGCGUGUAUCUACGUUUCGUUUUCGCACUUUGAUUAUUGUUAAAGACUAUGUGGAUGUCUCAGACAUUAUGAUGUAAUUGACUAUUAUUACACUUUUUAUGUUUUUAUUUGAGCACUGUGUGAUGAUAUCCAGUUAUGUAACUGUUGUGUACGUGAAUUGCUGAUCUUGGCACGUAUAUGGUUCGCGUUCGGUUUGCCUUCUAAAACCGGGUGUGACAGUAAUUACACCUAAAGGGCCUGUUGAGGCAAGUUAUAUGACACAUAGAUUGACAUUAACAAUUAUGGGAAGAGAAUUCUGGGCUACUGUUAUAAUAUUAGAGGCAAGCAAUAUAGAUCUGAUCCUUGGUAUGUCAUGGUUAAGAAAGGCAAAGGCCAUUAUACAAUGUGGUAGGGGUACUGUAGAACUCACCAGCCCUAAAGGAGAAGGUUUCAAGUUGAAAUUGCAGUAACAACCUCUUCCAGACGUGCGAUGUUCUUUAUAGCUGACGAGUUUGUUGGUAACAACAUCCAUGUGGUUAGGGAUUUUCCGGAUGUCUUUCUAGAGGAGUUACCAGGGAUGCCACCAGAUAGGGAAGUUGAGUUUGUAAUUGAUCUCUUACCUGGAACUGCCCCUAUUUCUAAAUGGCCAUACAUGAUGUCUAUUGAAGAGUUAAAGGAACUUAAGAAACAAUUAACAGAGUUACAAGAGGCUGGGUACAUUCGUUCGAGUUCCUCACCUUGGGGAGCGCCGGUUCUAUUUGUACAGAAGAAGGAUGGAUCACAAAGGAUGUGUGUGGAUUAUAGAUACCUAAAUGAUGUUACUGUGAAGAACAAAUAUCCGCUGCCCCGCAUUGAGGAUUUAUUUGAUCAGAUGAGAGGUGCAAGGGUAUUCUCGAAGAUUGAUCUCCGAUCGGGUUACCAUCAAAUGAGGAUUAGGCCAUCGGAUAUUCCCAAGACAACUUUCUCGACCCGAUAUGGUUUAUAUGAGUUCACGGUUAUGUCAUUUGGACUAACUAAUGCACCAGCUUAUUUUAUGAAUUUGAUGAAUAAGGUGUUUACAGAGUAUUUGGACAGAUUCGUUGUAGUAUUCAUCGACGAUAUUCUUAUUUAUUCAAAGAGUGAGAGUGAUCAUGAGGAACAUCUGAGAUUGGUGCUACAGAAACUACGGGAUAAUCAACUCUACGCCAAGUAUAGCAAAUGCGAGUUUUGGAUUGGCGAGGUGCCAUUCCUUGGACAUAUCAUUUCUAAUGGAGGGAUAUCAGCGGAUCCUGCUAAAGUCAAGGAAAUAAUGGCAUGGAGCGUACCCACUAUAGUUACGGAGAUUCAGAGUUUCUUGGGGCUUGCAGGAUACUAUCGGAGAUUUAUUGAAGGAUUUUCUAAGAUUGCUAAGCCUAUGACCUCGCUUCUGGAGAAGGGAAGAGAGUUCAAGUGGGACGAGAAGUGCCAAGAUAGCUUUGAUCAAUUGAAGAAGAGGUUGAUGUCGCCACCAGUGUUGGUUAUGCUAGAUCUACAGAAGGGAUUUGACAUUUAUUGUGAUGCCUGUGGCCAAGGAUUGGGAUGUGUGCUUAUGCAAGAAGGACACGUGACUGCCUACGCGUCUCGUUAGUUGCGGAAACAUGAGUUGAACUACCCCACUCAUGACUUAGAACUGGUAGCCGUAGUGCACGCACUUAAGAUAUGUAGACAUUAUAUCAUGGGAACCAAGUGUCAAGUAUACACGGAUCAUAAGAGUUUGAAGUAUAUAUGGCGCUACGGGCGGCGACAGCUUCAGCUCCGGCGAACGUGGCAUCGACGAAUGAGUGCAGGCGUGGCUUAUACAUGGCGGUGAGGGCGGCAACGAUAAAUAGCUUCGGCGGGGCAAGGAGCCGGGAUGGGCCGAGAGAGGGCGCGGGUUGCAGGCGAUGGUGGGACGGCGACGACAGGUCUAGCGGAUGCAGCAUACGACGUGAGAGAGAGCGGGCGGGCACGCGUGGGGAGAGAAAGUGAAACCGCGUGGUCGGGCGUUGUUUCAUUAAAUCGACGUAUGUCCGACGACGUGUGUGGCAGCUGUGGGACAUAAGGAUUACUAGUCAGUUGUCCGUGCGUUGCGACGGCUCACAACAAUACCCUCGUAAACUAUCCACCAAAAAGAUCUCAAGAUUUUUUAUUGAUUGUCUCCACUCUCCGCAUAAUAUUUUUUAUUUGACUAACUGAUGUUGUUGUUUACUCCAUCCAAUGUCUUGGUCCACCAAGGCCAAUGAAGGGAGUGAUUAGAAGAGAUUUCACAACGACCGAUUGAACGAAUAUAGAUUAUAGAAUGACAUAAUUCCACCAUACAGAGACCAAAUAAGAGGAAGUUUGUGAGCUCAAGUUUCUAAAAUAAGUCACAUGAACUCAAACUUAUAAAAAAGAUAGGUCAAAAUAUGGAUUGGUUGCUAAAGUCAGUCAUCAAUAAAAAUUGGAUGUGCUCCAUACAAAUUAUGGUACUUCAUAGCAAUUACUAGCCUUUGAAAUCAACAAAUAACCUUUGAUUUUAUUGCUAGCGUGACAAAUCAUUGCUGCUCCAUCCCAUUUAGCAACCUCAAACACCAUGGAGUCCAUUGCGCCAAUUUGGUCUCAGAAACGACCUAAUGCAUGCAAGAGCCAAGAACACAACGGACGAGCAUCUCGUGGUAGUUCCCGCAUGGAUCUCCAAAUCCUAACACAUAUUUUGCAGGAUCCAUGAGCCAUCAUCAGAAAAAUACAAACCACGUGCAUACAAUAAAUAAAGUAUGAAUACACCCAAAUUAUGUUCAGUCAUUAGCACAACAAAAAACUAACACCCAAAACAACAGCAAAACAACAUAAUAUUUUUUGCAAUGAUAUAAGGAUGAGUGACAGGUACAUAGAAGUGGUAGAAGCAUACCGAGUCGACACCGUGGUAAGGGAAAGGCCAUGUAGACAGGCGAUGCCGAGCCAUCGAACGGGUACCACGCAGCAAAUCAGGGACCCCCAUCCCUCGCCUCCCCCACUUCUAAGGUUUUGUAGAGCAGGAAGGGAAGGGAAGAGGCGGGCAUACCUGUUCAUUGCCGGAGAAGGACACGACAAAUACCUAGGCAUCUGGAGGCAUAGGUAGUAUACAGCUAGAUACAUAUAGGGAGAGAGCACACAAGCGGAGAAAGAAGCCCAGUCGGAGCGGCUCCAAACCGAGAGGCACCCGCACUAGGCGUCAGUCCGAGAAGGGUGAGAGAAUGUGAGUGCCUUCCCAGCCAUGAACCCGCAAAGGCGACACAACAACAACACCAACUCCAUAGAAUAUGCCAACUAUUGUCGCGCCACGGGUCUUGGUUGUCCAAUAUCUCAGACAUGGACUCCUCAUCACCAAGAUAACCUAAGUGUGGCAGGCGUCACUAUGUCCUCCUCGGAGGUACGCACAAAGAAAGGCUAGGAGCAAGACCGACUUGCCCGUACUCGUGUCAACGAGCGUCGGUUGGCUCACGGCUGCGACCGUGGGUGGGGGCAGCAGGUUGGGGAGGAAGAACAAGGCGAAGGUCGGGAAGACGAACGAGUCGUCCGACGACGACGAAAACGAUGGUGCACGCAUGCUGUGAAACGUCCUCGUGGACGUGCAAUAUCCACUGCGCGGGUCGGUGUCGGGGCUGGUGUCGGACGAAUACGGGGAGGAGGUGCCUGCUCUCACGCUCUUUGCCGAGAAUGGGGUGACGCGGAGACGGAGGCAUGAGGGGAGAGAGAAAAGAAGUAGGAUGGCGAACGAGGUCGCGACAAUUGAGGCGAAGACCAUCAUUACCGUGUGGAGGUAUAGAUGGCCAAAUGAGUCGUAUCUGGUGACCCGGCCCGGGGCACGACCCGUUUAAUAGUGCUUGGGCCAGUCCCGCACGAGCGUCGUAUCUUGUUUGGGCUGUAGCCUCGGUCCGUAGUGCUAGUCCGACCCGACACGAUUAUUUUUUAUUUUACAAAUAAUCAUAUAUACAUAUGUACAAUUUAUAUUCAACAUUAAAAACAUCUGAGCAUGAUGUUCUACUGGUUAGACAACUUCACCUAGUGUCUCCCAUUAUUAGAGCGUGGGUUCGAACCCCGCCUCCUACAGCGUUUUUUAACAUUUUACGCUGAUUUAACCAAAUGACCCGAUGGGCUAACGGACCAGGCCGGCAUGGUCAGCAGGACGGCGUGCCGUGCCUGGGCCCGAGCUGCGGCACGUGGGCGUCGAGCCUAGCGGGCCCGUGCCGGGCCGCCUGUUUGGCCCUCUAUAUGCAGAGGUGUGGUUUGGGACGUGGAUGUUGCCUGCGCGGAGGGGACAUACGUGCAACGGGUUAAUUUAAAAUAAAUGUGUCGGGGACCAUAAUUAGGGGUACCCUCAAGAUGCCUAAUUCUCAGCUGGUAACCCCCAUCAGCAUAAAGCUGCAAAGGCCUGAUGGGUACGAUUAAGUCAGGGAUCAGUCCAUACGAGCGACUCGAUCACGCCUCGCCCGAGCCUAGCCUCGGGCAAGGGCAGCCGACCCCGAGGGAUUUCCGUCUCGCCCGAGGCCCCCCUUUAACGGCGGACACAUCUCCGGCUCGCCCGAGGCCUUGCCUUCUCUCAGAAGCAACCCUGACUAAAUCGCCGCACCGACCGGCCGAGUCGCAGGAGCAUUUAACGCAAAGGUGGCCUGACACCUUUAUCCUGACGUGCGCCCCCCUGCAGAGCCGAAGUGACCGCCGUCACUUCGCCGCUCCACUGACCGGUCUGACAGAAGGACAGCGCCGCCUGCGCCACUCCGACUGCAGUGCCACUUGACAGAGUGAGACUGACAGGCAGUCAGGCCCUGCCAAAGGCGCCAUAGGAAACUCCGCUCCGCCCGACCCAGGGCUCGGACUCGGGCUAAGCCCCGGAAGACGGCGAACUCCGCUCUGCCCGACCCAGGGCUCAGACUCGGGCUAAGCCCCGGAAGACGGCGAACUCCGCUUCGCCCGACCCAGGGCUCGGACUCGGGCAAAGCCCCGGAAGACGGCGAACUCCGCUCCGCCCGACCCAGGGCUCGGACUCGGGCUAAGCCCCGGAAGACGGCGAACUCCGCUCCGCCCGACCCAGGGCUCGGACUCGGUCUAAGCCCCGGAAGACGGCGAACUCCGCUCCGCUCGACCCAGGGCUCGGACUCGGGCUAAGCCCCGGAAGACGGCGAACUCCGCUCCGCCCGACCCAGGGCUCGGACUCGGGCAAAGCCCCGGAAGACGGCGAACUCCGCUCCGCCCGACCCAGGGCUCGGACUCGGGCUCAGCCCCAGAAGACGACAAACUCCGCUUCGCCCGACCCCAGGGCUCGGACUCCGCCCAGGCCUCUGCUGAACAAUCUCUGCCUCACCCGACCCAGGGGCUCGGGCGCGGCCUCGGCCAUGGAAGACAGACUCGACCUCGGCUUCGGAGGAGCCUCCACGUCGCCCGACCUAGGGCACAGGCCCGCCACGUCAACAGGAAGCGCCAUCAUCACCCUGCCUCGAGCCGACUCGGGCCGCAGAGAACAAGACCGGUGUCCCAUCUGGCUCGCUCCGCCAGAUAGGCAAUGAUGGCGCCCCGCUAGCCCUGUGACGACGGCGGCUCUCAGCUCCCUUACGGAAGCAGGGGGACGUCAGCAAGGACUCAACUGCUCCGACAGCUGUCCCUCCGCCAGGCUCCGUUGCUCCUCCGACAGCCACGACAUCACACCAGCAGGGCGCCAAGAUCUCUCCGGCCGCCACAUUGGCAUGUACUUAGGGCGCUAGCUCUCCCUCCGCUAGACACGUAGCACUCUGCUACACCCCCAUUGUACACCUGGAUCCUCUCCUUACGCCUAUAAAAGGAAGGACCAGGGCCUUCUUAGAAAAGGUUGGCCGCGCGGGGACGAGGACGGGACAGGCGCUCUCUUGGGGCCUCUCGCUUCCCUCACCCGCGUGGACGCUUGUAACCCCCUACUGCAAGCGCACCCGACCUGGGCGCGGGAUGAACACGAAGGCCGCGGGAUUUCCACCUCUCUCACGACCCGUCUCCGGCCACCUCGCUCUCCCCCCUUCGCGCUCGCCCACGCGCUCGACCCAUCUGGGCUGGGGCACGCGGCACACUCACUCGUCGGCUUAGGGACCCCCCGGUCUCGAAACGCCGACAGUUGGCGUGCCAGGUAGGGGCCUGCUGCGUGCUGACGAACAGCUUCCCGUCAAGCUCCAGAUGGGCAGUCUCCAGCAACCUCUCCGGCCCGGGACGGUGCUCCGUUUCGGGAGUCUUGAGUUUAUGUCCUUCGACGGCAGCUACGACAUGAUACUCCUUCCACCGCCACGUGACAACGACAAUGGCGGCCGACAACCCGCCCGCCGGCGGCGGAAUCGACGACAUCUUCCCCGCGCGGUGGAAGAACAACAUUCGAGCUCGCCCCGUCCUCUCCCCCGCCAACGGAGGAGGAGGCGGGGCAACCAAGGCCAAGCGGGAGGCCUCGCUUCGUCGGCUGUCGAGCGAAUCGACGUCCCCAGCGCCCCAACGGGGGGCGCGUCAGGCGUCGACCUCGCAUUUGAGACGAAGGCGAGCGCCGUCCCCCCGCGACACACCAAUCCCGAGCAAGUGGACGACGCCAGCGCGCUUGCGGAGAGCUUGCAGGAUGUCGCCCUCGUACCUGAGACGACGGUGCAACCAGUCCCCGACGUGACUAUGACGCUCCUCGUCGACCAAAAGGUACCGACUGAUUCCCAUCUUACGUCAUUUCGACUCGGCCUCAACCCGCCUAGCGACCUUGCUUCAGCGGGCGCUCUCGUUGAGGCGAGUGCAACCCCUCUGGGGUCUCGUAUGCGGUCGCCUUGGGACCGGUUGACGGACGUCUCGACCUACGGGCCCUCUGGGCCCGAGGAAGACGACGAUCCCAGCAUCUGUUGGGAUUUCUCCGGAUUUGGCAACCCCAGUGCCAUGCGGGACUUUAUGACCGCAUGUGACUACUGCCUCUCCGACUGUUCCGACGGUAGCCGCGGCCUUGACGACGAGGACUGCGGCCCAAGCCGCGAAUGUUUCCACGUCGAGCUAGGGGAUCCCUCCGAAGGCAACCAUCUCGGCAUGCCGGAGGACGGUGAUCUUCCUAGGCCGGUGCCUCGCGCCGACAUCCCGCGGGAGCUAGCUGUGGUCCCCGUUCCGGCGGGGGGUCACGACCCACAGCUCGAGCAAGUCCGCGGGGCGCAGGCCAGGCUCGACGAGGGAGCGGGAGCGCUUGAGCCGAUCCGUCGGGACAUCGGGCAGGUAUGGGCGGGCCAACCCCCGGCCGGAGAAAUGCGUCACCUGCCCCAAGAUUUCCAGCACCGCGUCACCAACGACGUCAGGGUCAGACCGCCACCCGCAUCCAGCGGGGUCGGUCAGAACCUGGCAGCCGCAGCGAUGCUCCUCCGCGCGAUGCCGGAGCCAUCAACCACCGAGGGUCGGCGAAUCCAGGGAGAGCUCAAGAAUCUCCUGGAAGGCGCUGCGGUCCGACAGGCCAAGAGCUCUGCCUCCCGAAGGCAGGGAUACCCCUCGGAACCUCACGUCGCGACUUCCCGAUUCAUGCGGGAAGCCUCGGUCUACACCGGGCGCACGCGCAACACCGCGCCUGCAGCCCCGGGCCACCUCGGCAACGAGCACCAUCGUCGCGACCAUCGGGCCCGCCUCGACGAGAGGGUGCACCGAGGCUACCACCCCAGGCGUGGGGGACGCUAUGACAGCGGGGAGGAUUGGAGUCCCUCGCCCGAACCACCCGGUCCGCAGGCCUUCAGUCGGGCCAUCCAACGGGCGCCGUUCCCGACCCGGUUCCGACCCCCGACUACUAUCACGAAGUACUCGGGGGAAACAAGACCGGAACUGUGGCUCGCAGACUACCGCCUGGCCUGCCAACUGGGUGGAACGGACGACGACAACCUCAUCAUCCGCAACCUCCCCCUGUUCCUCUCCGACACUGCUCGCACCUGGUUGGAGCACCUGCCUCCGGGGCAGAUCUCCAACUGGGAUGACUUGGUCCAAGCCUUCGCCGGCAAUUUCCAGGGCACGUACGUGCGCCCCGGAAAUUCCUGGGACCUCCGAAGCUGCCGGCAACAGCCGGGAGAGUCACUCCGGGACUACAUCUGGCGAUUCUCGAAGCAGCGCACCGAGCUGCCCAACAUCACCGACUCGGAUGUCAUCGGCACGUUCCUUGCCGGCACCACCUGCCGUGACCUGGUGAGUAAGUUGGGUCGCAAGACCCCCACCAGGGCGAGCGAGCUGAUGGACAUCGCCACCAAGUUCGCCUCUGGCUAGGAGGCGGUCGAGGCUAUCUUCCGAAAGGACAAGCAGCCCCAGGGCCGCCCAUCGGAAGAGGCUCCCGAGGCAUCUACUUCGCGCGGCGCCAAGAAGAAAGGCAAGAAGAAGUCGCAAUCGAAACGCGACACCGCCGACGCGGACCUUGUCGCCGCCGCCGAGUACAAGAACCCUCGGAAGCCCCCCGAAGGUGCUAACCUCUUCGACAAGAUGCUCAAGGAGCCGUGCCCCUACCAUCAGGGGCCCGUCAAGCACACCCUCAAGGAGUGUGUCAUGCUUCGGCGCCACUUCCACAGGGUCGGGCCACCCGCCGAGGGUGGCAGGGCCCACGACGACGACAAAAAGGAAGAUCAUCAAGCAGGAGAGUUCCCCGAGGUCCGCGACUGCUUCAUGAUCUACGGUGGGCACGUGGCGAAUGCCUCGGCUCGGCAUCGCAAACAAGAGCGCCGGGAGGUCUGCUCGGUGAAGGUGGCGGCGCCAGUCUACCUAGACUGGUCCAACAAGCCCAUCACCUUCGACCAAGCUGACCACCCCGACCACGUGCCGAGCCCGGGGAAAUACCCGCUCGUCGUCGACCCCAUCAUCGGCGACGUCAGGCUCACCAAGGUCCUGAUGGACGGGGGCAGCUGCCUCAACAUCAUCUACGCCGAGAUCCUCAGGCUCCUGCGCGUCGAUCUGUCCUCCGUCCGAGUAGGCGUUGCGCCCUUCCACGGGAUCAUCCCUGGGAAGCGCGUCCAACCCCUCGGACGGCUCGACCUUCCUGUCUGCUUCGGAACGCCCUCCAACUUUCGAAGGGAGACCUUGACGUUCGAGGUGGUCGGGUUCCGAGGAACCUACCACGCGGUACUGGGGAGGCCAUGCUACGCGAAGUUCAUGGCCGUCCCCAACUACACCUACUUGAAGCUCAAGAUGCCGGGCCCCAACGGGGUCAUCACCGUCGGCCCCACGUACAAACACGCGUUCGAAUGCGACGUGGAGUGCGUGGAGUACGUCGAGGCCCUCGCCGAGUCCGAGGCCCUCAUCGCCGACCUGGAGAACCUCUCCAAAGAGGUGCCAGACGUGAAGCGUCAUGCCGGCAACUUCGAGCCAGCGGAGACGGUUAAGGCCGUCCCUCUCGACCCCAGUGGCGACACCUCCAAGCAGAUCCGGAUCGGUUCCGGGCUCGACCCCAAAUAGGAAGCAGUGCUCGUUGACUUUCUCCGCGCAAACGCCAACGUCUUUGCGUGGAGUCCCUCGGACAUGCCCGGCAUACCGAGGGAUGUCGCCGAGCACUCGCUGGAUAUUCGGGCCGGAGCCCGACCCGUCAGGCAGCCUCUGCGCCGAUUCGACGAGGAGAAGCGCAGAGUGAUAGGCGAAGAGAUCCACAAGCUAAUGGCAGCAGGGUUCAUCAAAGAGGUAUUCCAUCCCGAAUGGCUUGCCAACCCUGUGCUGGUGAGGAAGAAAGGGGGGAAAUGGCGGAUGUGUGUAGACUACACUGGUCUCAACAAAGCAUGUCCGAAGGUUCCCUACCCUCUACCUCGCAUUGAUCAAAUCGUGGAUUCCACUGCUGGGUGCGAAACCCUGUCCUUCCUCGAUGCCUACUCAGGGUAUCACCAAAUCCGGAUGAAAGAGUCUGAUCAGCUCGCGACUUCUUUCAUCACGCCCUUCGGCAUGUACUGCUACCUCACCAUGCCGUUCGGUUUGAGGAAUGCGGGCGCGACGUACCAGCGGUGCAUGAACCAUGUGUUCGGCGAACACAUCGGUCGCACGGUCGAGGCCUACGUCGAUGACAUCGUAGUCAAGACAAGGAAGGCUUCCGACCUCCUCUCCGACCUUGAAGUGACAUUCCGAUGUCUCAAAGAGAAAGGCGUCAAGCUCAAUCCCGAGAAGUGUGUCUUCGGGGUGCCCCGGGGCAUGCUCUUGGGGUUCAUCGUCUCCGAGCGAGGCAUCGAAGCCAACCCGGAGAAGAUCGCAACCAUCACCAGCAUGGGGCCCAUCAAGGACUUAAAAGGCGUACAGAGGGUCAUGGGAUGUCUCGCGGCCCUGAGCCGCUUCAUCUCACGCCUCGGCGAAAGAGGUCUGCCUCUGUACCGCCUCUUAAGGAAGACCGAGUGCUUCGCUUGGACCCCUGAGGCCGAGGAAGCUCUCGGGAACCUGAAGACGCUCCUUACAAAGGCACCUAUCUUGGUGCCCCCAGCUGAUGGAGAAACCCACUUGGUUUACGUCGCCGCGACCACUCAGGUGGUUAGCGCCGCGAUUGUGGUCGAGAGGCAAGAAGAAGGGCAUGCAUUGCCCGUUCAGAGGCCAGUCUACUUCGUCAGCGAGGUACUGUCCGAGACCAAGAUCCGCUACCCGCAAGUUCAGAAGCUGCUGUAUGCAGUGAUCCUGACGAGGCGAAAGUUGCGACAUUACUUCGAGUCUCAUCCGGUAACUGUGGUGUCAUCCUUCCCCCUGGGGGAGAUCAUCUAGUGCCAAGAGGCCUCGGGCAGGAUCGCAAAGUGGGCGGUGGAAAUCAAGGGCGAAACAAUCUCGUUCGCCCCUCGGAAGGCCAUCAAGUCCCAGGUGUUGGCGGACUUCGUAGCCGAAUGGGUCGACACCCAGCUGCCGACGGCUCCGAUCCAACCGGAGCUCUGGACCAUGUUUUUCGACGGGUCACUGAUGAAGACGGAAGCCGGCGCGGGCCUGCUCUUCAUCUCGCCCCUCAGGAAACACCUACGCUACGUGCUACGCCUCCAUUUCCCGGCGUCCAACAAUGUGGCUGAGUACGAGGUCUGGUCAACGGGCUGCGGAUCGCCAUCGAGCUGGGGGUCAGAUGUCUCGACGCUCGCGGUGACUCGCAGCUCGUCAUCAACCAAGUCAUGAAGAACUCCCACUGCCGCGACCCGAAGAUGGAGGCCUACUGCGAUGAGGUUCGGCGCCUGGAAGACAAGUUCUACGGGCUCGAGCUCAACCACAUCGCUCGGCGCUACAACGAGACUGCGGACGAGCUGGCUAAAAUAGCCUCGGGGCGAACAACGGUUCCCCCGGACGUCUUCUCCCGGGAUCUGCAUCAACCCUCCGUCAAGAUCGACGACACGCUCGAGCCCGAGGCACCCUCGGCACAGCCCGAGGCGCCCUCGGUUCAGCCCGAGGUACCCUCGGCCCCCGAGGGCGAGGCACUGCACGUCGAGGAGGAGCAGAGCGGGGCCAUGCCUGAUCAAAAUUGGCAGACCCCAUACCUGCAAUAUCUCCGCCAAGGAGAGCUACCCCUUGACCAGGCCGAGGCUCGGCGGGUAGCGCGGCGCGCCAAGUCGUUCGUCUUGCUGGGCGAUGAGGAGGAGCUCUACCACCGCAGCCCCUCGGGCAUCCUCCAGCGAUGCAUCUCCAUCGCCGAAGGUCAGGAGCUCCUGCAAGAAAUACACUCGAGGGCUUGUGGCCAUCAUGCAGCGCCUCGAGCCCUUGUCGGGAAUGCUUUCCGGCAAGGCUUCUACUGGCCAACGGCGGUGGCUGACGCCACUAGAAUUGUCCGCACCUGCGAAGGGUGCCAAUUCUAUGCGAAGCAGACCCACCUGCCCGCUCAGGCUCUGCAGACGAUACCCAUCACCUGGCCCUUUGCUGUAUGGGGUCUGGACCUCGUCGGUCCCUUGCAGAAGGCGCCCGGGGGCUACACGCACCUGCUGGUCGCCAUCGACAAAUUCUCCAAGUGGAUCGAGGUCCGACCCCUGAACAUCAUCAGGUCCGAGCAGGCGGUGGCGUUCUUCACCAACAUCAUCCAUCGCUUUGGGGUCCCGAACUCCAUCAUCACUGACAACGGUACCCAGUUCACCGGCAAAAAAUUCUUGGAUUUUUGCGAGGAUCACCACAUCCGGGUGGACUGGGCCGCCGUGGCUCAUCCCAUGUCGAAUGGGCAAGUAGAGCGUGCCAACGGCAUGAUUCUACAAGGGCUCAAGCCCCGGAUUUACAACGACCUCAACAAGUUCGGCAAGCGAUGGAUGAAGGAACUCCCCUCGGUGGUCUGGAGCCUGAGGACAACGCCAAGCCGAGCCACGGGUUUCACGCCGUUCUUCCUGGUCUAUGGUGCCGAGGCCAUCUUGCCCACUGACCUGGAAUACGGCUCCCCAAGGAUGAGGGCCUACAACGAUCAAAGCAACCAAGCUAGCCGAGAAGAGUCGCUGGACCAGCUAGAAGAGGCUCGGGAUAAGGCCUUACUACACUCAGCGCGGUACCAGCAGUCCCUGCGACGCUACCACGCCCGAGGGGUCCGGCCCCGAGACCUCCAGGUGGGCGACCUGGUGCUUCGGCUGCGGCAAGACGCCCGAGGGAGGCACAAGCUCACGCCCCCCUGGGAGGGGCCAUUCGUCAUCGCCAAAGUUCUGAAGCCCGGAACAUACAAGCUGGCCAACAAUCAAGGCGAGAUCUACGGCAACGCUUGGAACAUCAAACAGCUACGUCGCUUCUACCCUUAAGAUGUUUUCAAGUUGUUCAUAUACCUCGCACUCGCGCAAAGUUUAGUCAUCAAGGAAGGGUCGGCCUCGCCUCGGCAAAGCCCGACCCUCCCUCGGGGGCUAAAAGGGGGGAGACCCCCUCUGCGUCGAAAUUUUCUCGAAAAAAGAUCUCUUUUAGCAUAAUAUCUUUCGUGCUUUUUGACUACUUCGAAAAGCGGAUCCUGGAAACGACGGAGUACACGUAAGCAGCCAAGGCUGACCGAGCCGAGGGACUCCUACGCCUCCGGGAUACGGAUACCUCACUCAUCACCUUCUGCGAUAAGUAACUCGCAUUCGGAUAAAAUGAUUCCGCGGACCGAACAAGUCUUUACGUUCGGAAGCUCUUCUGCCGAAGCGGAUCCUUCGAGCCUUCUCGACUGAGUCGGAGACAGGGCCUCGUGGACGGGUGAAAGUACGCGUAAGCGGCAAGGCCGACCGAGCCGAGGGACUCCCACGCCUCUGGGAUACGGAUACCUCACUCGUCACCUUCCGCGAGAAGCAACUCUCGCCCGCACAAACAUCCCUGUUACCGACAAAAAGUCCAGAUACUCGAAACAAGAGGAAAGGAGACGCAGCUUUACAACGCAGCGAGGGUGUGUUUUCUGGCCCCUGCGGCCGCAGAAGGCACACGCUACAAGACAAUCUGAUCCUGCAGGCUCGGGUCUUCACGCUGGAAGGGGGCUGUAGCACCCUCGGCAUCGACGACACCUUCAGUGAGGUCCGACCCAGCCUCGGACAGCGACGCGGUCCAGGGACUUCCCCGGGAAUCCGGCCCGAGCAGGCAGCUCGGCCGGGUGCCUCAGGGGCCUCGGCCAACCAUCUCCCAAGGGCGCCAGCCCGGCCCGAGGCCUCGGCUGGUCAACUCCGGCAUCGGUCCCGCUGACGGACAACCCGGCUAGGCUCCGGCCAACCAGGUUCCCAUUUUCGAGCCAACUCCACCCCUGUUCGUGCUGAUAUCGCUACCCCUGGCCUCGGCUCAUCGAAGAGCGGCCAAGGGGUCUCUUUAACUAAGCUAGAGGAGCCUCAGACAACAAGGCCGAUCGAGCCGAGGGACUCCUACGCCUCCGGGAUACGGAUACCUCACUCGUCACCUUGGCACGGGGCGACUCAUGCUUGGUGAAGCGGUUCAGAUAAUCAACAGGCGAGGCUUAGUGCUCGAAAAUGAGGAAAAGACACGGCUCCGUGCCGAAAUUGCAUACAUGUUCAGGCCUCGACAGCCACGAUGAACAAAAACACUGGCAUUCAAAGUGCCCUUACAAACGGAACUCCGGUUCCGCCCCCGCGGGUAUGAGCGACCUCGAGCCUGCGGGGCGACGAACAUCGGAGGCUCGCCAGCGACCUCUGCAGCAGCAGCCAUGGUCCUGGGUGGACGCGGCCACCGGAGGGCUCUUGUUCGCGGUCCCGCUCAAGGGACACGAACCAACUAUCAAAGCCAAAGAGCGGGCCGCUCCCAAGCGCACCGGCAGAUCCUCGCUGCCGUCCUCGCCACGAAUGCGAGGGGAAGGACGGAAUGUUGCAUCCUAGCUGGGCAGCAACAGUUCGCCUUCCCCGGCAUGACUGGAGGACGUCUCCGUCGCAGCGCGGAAGGACGAUUGCCACCACCAGAAGCUGGAAGAGGAGGUGGUCCGCCGACCCGCGCAGGAGGUAGAGCCCCGGCUCGCCUCGCUCCCCGUCCCAGCGAGGAUGACGAACACCCCCGAUGCUGAGGGCGGGAUCACAGCCUGGCUUGCCUCUCCCCAUCCAGGAGCUGGAGGUCACCGUCUUGGGUGACCACCAGCGGAGGGGAGCAACCGGGCUGUGUGAUGAAAAUCCUUGAAGCCGAACGAUGGCUGAAAGGUACCAACUCCCACGGAGUUGCGUUCCUCCAACGAUGAGGCGGAAAGACGGCGGGUACCCCCCAUCCGGGGGCUUGGAAGAUGGAAAGACACGACGCAUAAGGGAGGAAGAAGACAUGGUCGCCUUCCGAAAGGGGUCACCCUCCUUUUAAAGGCAACUCUCCCUACGUGCGCCCCCAAACGCCGCGGGCUGAGUCUUCUCCAACACGCUCCAAGGCCUUCCCCUGCGGCGCGGGGGCUGGGUCCCGCAUGUCAUGCAAACCGGCUCAGAGCAGAAGAAGCCAAAGCGCCGCACCUGAUGCACACAACCGCCCAGCGGUUACAAGCGACCCCCACUUUUGCCCAGACCAACGGGCGGAAGGAGUGGGCAGCCAUGCAGGCGGCAUGCAACCGCGCCAAGUGGACACGCUUCUCCGACUCCCAACGCGCUAGCAUGGAGGCCCAGACCCACGCGUCACGCAACCGGCGCGCCGGAUGCUGCAUGCAGGCAACUGCCACCGCCACUUACGCCACCAUCGCGCAUCUUCGGUUGCGGAACCAAUGCCGCGACUCGAGGCGACCCAGCGCACGACCCAGCAGCGCCAGCCUGGCGCGAUGGUCAAUGCGGCCGAAAGUGGGCCGGUAGUAAUGACGGUGGCAGGCGGGCGGGAGCAGCGGUCAAGUCGUCAGCCAGGCUCACGUCCUAUCCAGGGGCAGCAAGAGAGCCUCCUCUCACGGCGUGAAGACGACGCGCCCGUGAACCGUUCCUCGAAUGGCUCGCGCACGUGCAACGACCGCCCCGCCAACCACUCGCCCCGUCGCAUUAACUCUGCGGCGGGACAGGCGGCGCUUCCGGCAGGAGAAGCGGGCGACGCUUCGCCUUCGCAGUAAUAACCGCGCCAAAAAAGGUACGCCACGUCAUUCGAUUUCGUAUCCUUUUCCUUUUUUCCUCUUUCUCUAUCUCUUGCAACAGGGACCGGGAAAGAGGGAUACCCCGAAAAGGAUCCUUCCCUGUGAAGGAACCGGGCUCCGAGCCCCCCCUACUGAUCAGAGGUUCGAAGGCUGGCCCUCCGAGGGGUUCAACAGUCGCCUCAGAUCGCGUGGGCCCUACACCCACUACUGGUCAGAGGUUCGAAGGCCGGCCCCCCGAAGGGCUCCACGGCCGCCUCAGGCUACUCGGGCUCCGCGCCCAUUACUGAUCAGGGGUUCGAAGGCUGGCCCCCGAAGGGUUCACAGUCGCCUCAAACGCCGAGCGAGGGAUGACCAGGGGUACGUUCGAUACAUAGCCGAGGCUCGGGCUGCGCUCCCGAGGUACCCUAGGACAUUUCCGAGACCAGCGGGAGCGAUCUUGUAACGGAAUCCCAUCGGAGGGAGGCAUCGAGCCCUCGGACCCCGUCGCCAGGGGACCGGGUCCGGCAGAUCACCCGCAGGUACUUUUGGGCGUGCCUCUGGGCCCCUAGCCGACCCCCAACGAACGGGGCACGGAUGUCCACUCGGAUUACCCGCUUGCAGCUCACCGGAGACACCAUGUUCGGUGCCCAUCGAGGGUAACAUGGCGCACUCCCCCCCUCCUCCUUGCGGAAAGGCGACGUAGGGGCGUAUGUAAAAAAGCCGAGUCUGUCCCUGAUCGCCCUCUCGCCCUGUGCGGAGGCUCGGGGGCUGCUCUCGCAAACCCGGCUCCGGCCGAACCGUUGACAGCGUCAACAUACCAGCCCGAGAACUUGGGCCCCGACCGUGCACCCGGGCUACGGCCAGUUCGCAUGAGGGAACAACCAGACCAGCCGAAGCAUUUCGCAAGGCACUAAGACCUCGAAGGAGUGAAACCACUCCUCCGAGGCCUCGGGGGCUACACCCGGCGGGUGCGCUCGCGCGCACCCACUGGAACAAAAUGCAACCGAGAAAGGCUGGUCCCCUUGCAAAAAAGUGCGACAAAAGCCUCCAAGCGAGUGAUAACACUCCCUUCGAGGCUCGGGGGCUACUGUCGGGGACCAUAAUUAGGGGUACCCUCAAGACGCCUAAUUCUCAGCUGGUAACCCCCAUCAGCAUAAAGCUGCAAAGGCCUGAUGGGUACGAUUAAGUCAGGGAUCAGUCCAUACGAGCGACUCGAUCACGCCUCGCCCGAGCCUAGCCUCGGGCAAGGGCAGCCGACCCCGAGGGAUUUCCGUCUCGCCCGAGGCCCCCCUUUAACGGCGGACACAUCUCCGGCUCGCCCGAGGCCUUGCCUUCUCUCAGAAGCAACCCUGACUAAAUCGCCGCACCGACCGACCGAGUCGCAGGAGCAAUUAACGCAAAGGUGGCCUGACACCUUUAUCCUGACGCGUGCCCCCCGGCAGAGCCGAAGUGACCGCCGUCACUUCGCCGCUCCACUGACCGGUCUGACAGAAGGACAGCGCCGCCUGCGCCACUCCGACUGCAGUGCCACUUGACAGAGUGAGACUGACAGGCAGUCAGGCCCUGCCAAAGGCGCCAUAGGAAACUCCGCUCCGCCCGACCCAGGGCUCGGACUCGGGCUAAGCCCCGGAAGACGGCGAACUCCGCUCCGCCCGACCCAGGGCUCGGACUCGGGCUAAGCCCCGGAAGACGGCGAACUCCGCUCCGCCCGACCCAGGGCUCGGACUCGGGCAAAGCCCCGGAAGACGGCGAACUCCGCUCCACCCGACCCAGGGCUCGGACUCGGGCUAAGCCCCGGAAGACGGCGAACUCCGCUCCGCCCGACCCAGGGCUCGGACUCGGGCAAAGCCCCGUAAGACGGCGAACUACGCUCCGCCCGACCCAGGGCUCGGACUCGGGCUAAGCCCCGGAAGACGGCGAACUCCGCUCCGCCCGACCCAGGGCUCAGACUCGGGCUAAGCCCCGAAAGACGGUGAACUCCGCUCCGCCCGUCCCAGGGCUCGGACUCGGGCUAAGCCCCGGAAGACGGCGAACUCCGCUCCGCCUGACCCAGGGCUCGGACUCGGGCAAAGCCCCGGAAGACGGCGAACUCCGCUCCGCCCGACCCAGGGCUCGGACUCGGGCUCAGCCCCAGAAGACGACGAACUCCGCUUCGCCCGACCCCAGGGCUCGGACUCCGCCCAGGCCUCUGCCGAACAAUCUCCGCCUCGCCCGACCCAGGGGCUCGGGCGCGGUCUCGGCCAUGGAAGACAGACUCGACCUCGGCUUCGGAGGAGCCUCCACGUCGCCCGACCUAGGGCACAGGCCCGCCACGUCAACAGGAAGCGCCAUCAUCACCCUGCCCCGAGCCGACUCGGGCCGCAGAGAACAAGACCGGUGUCCCAUCUGGCUCGCUCCGCCAGAUAGGCAAUGAUGGCGCCCCGCUAGCCCUGUGACGACGGCGGCUCUCAGCUCCCUUAUGGAAGCAGGGGGACGUCAGCAAGGACUCAACCGCUCCGACAGCUGUCCCUCCGCCAGGCUCCGUUGCUCCUCCGACAGCCACGACAUCACACCAGCAGGGCGCUAAGAUCUCUCCGGCUGCCACAUUAGCAUGUACUUAGGACACUAGCUCUCCCUCCGCUAGACACGUAGCACUCUGCUACACCCCCAUUGUACACCUGGAUCCUCUCCUUACGCCUAUAAAAGGAAGGACCAGGGCCUUCUUAGAAAAGGUUGGCCGCGCAGGGAUGAGGACGGGACAGGCGCUCUCUUGGGGCCGCUCGCUUCCCUCACCCGCGUGGACGCUUGUAACCCCCUACUGCAAGCGCACCCGACCUGGGCGCGGGACGAACACGAAGGUCGCGAGAUUUCCACCUCUCUCACGACCCGUCUCCGGCCACCUCGCUCUCCCCCCUUCGCGCUCGCCCACGCGCUCGACCCAUCUGGGCUGGGGCACGCGGCACACUCACUCGUCGGCUUAGGGACCCCCCGGUCUCGAAACGCCGACAAGAUGUGAGUGGUUAUUUGUAAAAUAAAAAAUAAUCGGAUGUUUAGUAUUACUUCCGACUGGUGUCCUUGAGACCACGGAAAUAAGCAAGCACAAUCGGAUGUUUCUUUGUUUCAUGUUGUGCACGAUAGGUAAUAAAAAUUUAUCUGCCAUUGCUAACCAUGACGAAAGAAUGAGUCUCGAAGUCGAAAGAAAAGCACAAUUUUAUUUGUCUCGACGUUUUUUAUUGUAAGUUAUUGUAGUGGGAGUCCCUACAUUAUUUUUUAUAUCAAAGAAUGAGUAUCUAUAGGUUACAUGUGGGAUCGAGAGAGAGAGAGGUUACAAUGUUUGUGUCUAUAGACUAACGGAGUGUUUUGUUAUAUAAUAGUUGAGCAUAGUAUCUCCCUCUUGAACAAUUUUUUACAAUUGUUUACAGUUUUAUUAUAUAACUUUUUCUGCAUUUCUAGAUACAUAAUUUUAUUUGUCUCGAUGUUGACAAGUACAAUAGAGAUUAGAUUAAAUUGAACAGUUCUACUACAGUGAUAUAUGGUAAUUGAUCACAGGGGGUCCGACUAUUAGGGGGGAAUUAGGACCUGAGGUGGGAAUUAGGACCCUGUCAUGCUGGAGGUCAAGGAGUUGGUGCCCGCCGUACUAAGAAGAAGUCAAGUGCUUGCUUGAUCUAGCUAGUAAAACGUGUACGACACAUGUUGGUUUGGUGGAACCGACACAUAUUAUAUUCCACAAGAGGAACAAGCCACACAAAUUCGGUGGUGGCGUCUCCUCCUGCUCUCCCUCCGUUGUUCUUGUCUCGUUACCUACAGAUGCGUGUGGUGGUAGAGAGUCGCGGCAGUGGUUCGAGACACUUGUCGAUGGAGGAAGAUAAAGACGGCACCGCGUGCGGGAUGCGACGGUGACGACUAGUGAGUCGGACUCCAAAAAGAUGAUCUCUACUUGAUGUCUUCUAUGGUGGUGUGAAAGAAUUUGGAUAAGGGUGGUGGAGACAGAGAAAGAGAUGGAAAAUUGAGGGUUAAUAUACGACGACAACAUUGAGGAAGACGUGAUUGGUUACACAUGCAAGCAAGAGAUAAGUCUUAUCCACUAGUAGAAAAGAGCUCAAAACCUGCGGUGGGAUUUAAUUUUUACAGACCGAUUCGGUUAUCAUCCGUCAGUGCUAUUUCUAGUGACGGUUCCUUAAAAAACCGCUACUAGAAAUCAUAUUUCUACAUGCGAUUCGUUAAGAAAACCAAAUGUGGAAAUCUAUGAUUUCUAGUGGCGGUUUUCUUAAGAGACUGCCACUAGAAAUCAUUUUUAUCCUUUUUUUCUUGAGUUUUUCAAACGACCUUGGAUGAUAAACCACCAAUAUAAAAGUUAUAGAUCUUGAAAAGUUAUGAAACCUUGUAGUUGACAACUUUUUAAAUUGAAAUCAUCUCAGCUCUCAAAAAUUGCAUUCGAAUUUGUCAAAUUCAAAAUGCAAUUUUUUGCAAACGACCUUGGAUGGAAAAAUAUCAACAUAAAAUUGUAGAACUUCAAAAGUUAUAAAAUUAUGCAGUUGACAAUGUUUUCAAUUGAAUUCGUUUACAGCCUCAAAUAGUCAAUUUAUACUCGGAAUGUUCUAAUAUGUGAGCAACAAAACUGCAAUAUAGACACAAGGCACGUCAUAGGUGGAGUGGUAGAGGAUAUUUUAUGUUUACUGGAAAAUAUUCUCACUAGCGGUUUUAUUACCUUGACUGCCAGUGAAAAUCGAUUUUCACUGGCGGUUUUACUAGCCCGACCGAUAGUGGAAAUCGAUUUCCACUGGCGGUUCUCAGUUACUCGUCUGUACAAAUAAUUUUAAAGAAACUAGUACAAUGUUCGUCGUUGCGACAACACACAAUCAUAUUUGAUAACUAUAAAAAUAAAUUUAAUAUCAAAGUGAGCAUAUGGUCCACAUAUUAGAUAUUAAACUGAUAAAAACAAAUAUUAUAAUUUAUCUUAGUGACAACAUUUGAACUUACACGUGACGACGUUUUCAUGUACUAGUUAAUGAUAAAAAUAAAUAAUUACCUUAUCAAAAGAUCACUCAUUGUACAAAUGUGUUUUUUAUGUACACAUUAUGAUUUCUUACAUCUGACAAUGUGUAGAAGUAACAAUGUUUUACAUUAAUAACAUAUGAAGUGAUGUCACUUAUUUAGAAGUGACAAGGUGGCCUCCUACGCCUCCUUGUGGUCCCUCUCGGCCACCUGUUUAAGCUAAAAGGCAACGAUGGGGAAGGUGCGUCAGAGCCCGGCGAGGGUGUGCAACAUGAGCUUGGUGCCGGAGGGGUUGACCUACGAACAUUAUUAUAGGUCGGUGAGCACGGUGGACGGGGUGGCUCUAGCGCGACAUGCACGGAGGGUCAUUGGCGACCAUGUGCGACAUGCAUGGAGUUUGUUUGAGCGUUUUGGUGGGUCGCAGCCGUGGCAUCCGAUCAUCUGUUCCGUUGAGCCUCAGGGUGGGGGGCAACGUUUGGGGCGGGCCGCAAUGACACCUGGUCCAGUGCGCCGUUGGCGACGACAAAAUCGAGGCUAGGGCGCCGUCAGCGGAGGCGAUGGGAUGGGGCCAGGGUUGCUGGGUGAUCGGGGCAGGGGAUCGGGUCCUAUUGUUUUUGGGGCUGGGGCUGGGGAUCGAGUCCCGUUGUUUUCGGGGCCGGGGCGGGGGAUCGGGUCCCGUUGUUUUUGGGGCCGGGACGGCGUGAUCAGGGCGCGCGGGAUCAUUCGGAUGGUGGGCAAAUCGGACGGCUUAGAUUGCAUAACGGUACAACGGACUGCUAAUUUGCGUAACGGUAGAACGGUCGGGAGGCAGCCUACCCCUUGCAGCCUUAAUAAGUAGUAGAGAUUAUACGACGGUAUGGUGGUGCACUUUCUCUUUGUUGACUUCUCUUCGUCUUCUUUUUUUUGGGGGGGGGGGAGUUGACUCUUUCUAUAUACAUUGGUUAUUAGUGAGCACACGAAUAGUUGGUCUCUUUGCUUCUUAGUUGGUCUCCUCAGCUGGUCUCUUUCAACGUGCUCCUUGAUUUGUUUUUUUAAUGACAAAUAACAGUGUUUGUGUUGGUUCAUUGCACAACCUAUAUAAGUUUUAUGCUACCAUACGUACGUAGAAAGAGUCAACUCACAAAAAUUAUAGAAAUAGUCAGCAAUGCUUGUUCGCCUUGUGGAAUAUAUAUCUGUCAGCUCCACACCAAACGAACUUGUGAAACCGAAAGAUAUGUUUGUGUUGUUUUUUUGCCGAUUGCCCGACAUAAAGUACUCGGCAAAGAGGCCGUAGCCAAUAAACUGUUUACCGAGACCUGUUUGCCGAGUGUUACACUCGGUAAAGCAUUUGCCAGCUGUUGUUGAGGUUUUGAUAAGUGCCGCAUGCACUCCGCAAAGAACAUUGUUCCGGUAGUGGUUGUUACAAUUGGUUUGGUGUGAAACCGAAAGAUGUAUAUAUUCCACAAUUUAGAAAAGCAAAAAAAACGGUGAACACGCUAGUAAACAUUGCAAACAUUCAUAUGUUAUAUUUGACUCGUCAAGUGAUCACGGAUGACGGAUGACGAAACGAAGAUUGUUGGAUAUAGUUACGACUAUAUGAGGUGGUGUCGUUUGUUUCGCAUAUUUGUAACGUGAUAUGUAAUUGAUAAUGUUAAAUCAUUUUUGUUUAAUUCCAACCGUAAUCUAAUACUACACUAGAAUGUGAUACCGACCUAUUUAAAUUUAUUACCGUGGAUAACUGAGCAAGAAUAAUUGUCAUUACCAUUUAUAUUACAUUUCGUUGACCAAACUGUAGAAAAUAUUACACGUUGGUGUGAGUACAAGAAUAGAUCGUUCCAUGAACCAUUAUCACAGUCCAGCAACAGCAACAAAUAAUUUGUCUUCUCAUCUACGAGAUGGGGGUAGAAAUGGAUGUCCAAUCGUCCGUUUUUUUAUAUGUAUCCAUCGACGAAUCCUCCAUUAUUUCGCAGUUUAUUAACAAUUUAAAAUUUGGAUCACUAAGAAAUCGCAGUUCGCUGGAACCUAGCCACUCAAAUAUACAAAAAGAAAAGAAAGAACACACAAAAGGCAUCGUAGGUUUAAACCGCUGAAAUAAGGCAUCGUAGCUAGAGACUAUUUCUCCAGGUCGGCUGAUAGGUUCAACCAAAGACUUAUUCAGCUACUGAUACGUACACGUCGCAACAUGCGCUCGGGCAGGCUAUAUAAACCUCACCGUCCCCAUGCCCAAAGCAUCAACAACCAUAGACACAAACACAACAAGCUAAUAAGAAGCUACGUAGCUGAAUAUUCAGAGAGCACAAACACAAACGCGAGUGCAAAACCAAAUGGCUGCCUCGACCUACUUCCUUCUUGUUGCUUUUCUAGCAUUGGUCACUUCUCAUGCCAUUGCUUCUGAUCCUAGCCCGCUCCAAGACUUCUGUGUUGCCGACAAAGACUCUCCGGGUAUGCGUGCUCUCGUCUUGACUUAUCAUGUGUUCUUAUAAUAAAUACCUGAUCAAAUAAGGUUCAUUUAAUUUGUUCAAAUAUCACAUCUACGUACAAUAAGCAUUUCUAGGUAUGCAUGGCCCAAUGGCCUAUUCUCCAUCUAAUUGCUUGCCUUCGUCUAUGCAUACAGUGAAGGUGAAUGGAUUUGUUUGCAAGGAUCCCAUGGCUGUGAACGCUGACGACUUCUUCAAGGCUGCAAAACUUGACCAGCCAAGGGACACCACCAAGAGCAAGGUGGGAUCCAACGUUACUUUGAUCAAUGUCUUGCAGCUACCUGGACUCAACACGUUGGGCAUCUCGUUGGCUCGCAUUGACUAUGAGCCCUUAGGACAGAAUCCUCCACACACACACCCACGUGCCACAGAGAUCCUCACCGUGCUUGAGGGGACACUCUACGUCGGAUUUGUCACCUCCAACCAAGCUGACAGAAGCAACAAGCUAUUUGCCAAGGUUCUCAACAAGGGCGAUGUGUUUGUAUUCCCCCAAGGACUAAUCCACUUCCAGUUCAACCCGGCCCAUGACAAGCCAGCAGUCGCGCUCGCUGCUCUAAGUAGCCAGAACCCUGGAGCUAUUACUAUUGCCAAUGCAGUCUUUGGAUCAAAGCCACCUAUCUCGGAUGAUGUCCUAGCUAAGGCCUUUCAGGUGCAAAAGGGUACAAUUGAUUGGCUUCAAGCUCAGUUUUGGGAGAACAACCACUAUUGAAAAAAAUAAAUCAAGUUACAGUUCAUUGUAUGGGAAUAUAAUGAUUUAUUUACAUUUUACAUACUACUCUAUGUAUUUAUUUUUUCUAGACUUUCAGCUGAUAAUAAAAUAAAUGGAUUGUAUUUAUGUACUAUAAUUGUAAUUGUGUCCCAACUGUGGUUCUACCACCAUCUCCUUAAUCGAAAGUGCAUGUAAUGUAUAUGGCACUCUCUCGUUUCCCAUUUUAUUGAGAUGGUUCAUAUAUUAAGCCAUCUCUAGAACGAUUGACAUAAUUACACCACUCCUAAAAUUUCACUAUUAUCAUGAAUGAUUAUCAUAAAGAACUGUCCUUAAAGAUCAAAUUUCAUGGGUGGAUUCUUAUGCCAACCGUUCCUGAAAAAUAGAAGAUUUCUACUCAAAAGGUGCUAGCUAGCAUGGUUGAGGACCAAAAAAAUUCAUAGAUUUUCAAAUAUAGUCAUUAAGUGACAAGCUUUAUAUCAAAUUUGUAAAGCCCAACAAUAUCUAAAACUUUAUAGGUAACAACUUUUUAUUUAAGACCAUUUAGAGACCUAAAUAUAUGUUUUGUCUUCGAAGAGUUGAAAAUUCAGAAUUUCAAAUUUCAUUUCUAGUGGCAGUGGGCUUUCAUUUUCCACCGUCAACACUUCUAUAAAAAACUCUUAUAUAAUUAUAUAGUGAUUUGAUAUUUUUAUACAUGGCAUACCAGUAAUAUAAAUUCAACGUUAUGCUUAAUUGGUCUCUGUACUACCCACUUUGUAAGAAAAACCUAAAAAGAGAAAUCUCAUUGCUUCAUAUAUGUGUGUCAUCUCUAUUUAUCAUUUCAUGUGGACACCCCCACUUAACCAGAAUAAAUGGUUAACAAAAGACACUCAAAUAACUUAUCCAUUCUUUGGAGUUUUGUUUGCUUGUGCAUUAAAAUAAUUAAAAUAAUAAUGCUAGUAGAAAUAAAACAAUGACUUGAGAUGAAGUUUGAAUCCUAAAUUGAGAAUUAGGGUUUGAAAUAGAGAAGGAAAGAGAAAAUACUAUACAAUACAAAAAUAAAUUUAUAAAUAGAUAAAUUUAUUCCACAAUAAUUAUUCAAAUCAUAUACUCAGAAAUUUGAGUACAAGUUCACCACAAAUUUGAAAUUCAAAUUUAGAUUCAAAAAUAAGAAUGAAAAGAAAAUGAAUCGAAAAAGGAAAAUAAAAAGAAAAGAAUAAAGACACCUAACUCGGCCGCGAGGCCGUAUUUCGGCCCGUUCACUGUUACUUCGCGCGGCCCAUCACUUCGUGGAGGCGUGCUGACACGUGGGGCCAUCUGGCCAGCCACACACCGCGCGAUACAGCAGCGUUGGCUCGUGCCGACACAUGGGGCCAUCUGGGCAGCCACCCACGCACGAACCCGCGGACGCCACGGUCACCUGCCCCACCUGUCAGAGAACACGAUGGAUCUUCUUCGUUCCGCCAUUGUCGCGCUGACCGGCGGCAAUCGCGCCACUCCACCGUUUUCUGGGGGGUUGUUGGACUGGAGCACCCGAGCUAUAAGGACCGGCUUCGGAUGCGGUUCCCCACCUUUGCCAACUCGUCGCGCCCCAACCAUUGAGCUCAAUGAGGGAGAGAGAGAAUCACUUUGCCGCCGUCCUCGGGCCGCCACCGGGAAUCCUCGCACCGCGAACACACCGUCUGCGGAAUUCGGGUCCGGGGCUUCGUGUUUUUGCGAGGAAUACAUGUGUGGUGUUGCGGUGACUGGGGUACCGUCGGUGCGCUUAGAAUCGCUCGCCUGUGUUCUUCUUCCGCCGCGUCGCGUGGACAACUGCCUCUGCACCAUCAAUCGCCGUCGGGUAACUACUCUACUUGCCAAGCUUUGUCUUCGCUACGUGUAUUCCGGUUUAGAUCGAAGCUUUAGGCGCGGGAUCAGGUAAUGGGGGAUUCCGACGAUGGCGCUCCGCCGUGGGGGCCCUGGUCUUCCCUCCGGCCGUGGUCUGGGGGUAGGAGACGUUGUAGCCACCGUUACCUGUUAGAUGUGCGACUCAGAUUGGAAACCAGUUAUCAAUUCGGACGCGUUCGCCUGAGACAUUCGAUUAGUGAUCCGAGGGUAGGGAUCGGAUCUGGGCAUUGUAAAACCCUAGUCGUUGAUCUGUCAACAUAUGCCCAGGAUCAGAGGGGGAAAUACAUCGUUUCAUUUAAUUAAAUCAACAUCGUUGAUUCCCAAUCCAACGCAUAGCAUCGCAUACCGAUUCGGGUGUGGGCUUGAUAUAAUCAGAACCCUCGGUUGUCGAUCGGACGGCUCUGAACGAAGGAUACCCCUUCAACCCAGUAAAACUGCAAAAGAGACCCUAUGCUAUUUUAGAUUCAACCCGACGUCCAUUUGUGGGGCGCUCUGUGUCUUAGAGAUUUUUACCUUGAGACCCCUGAGUUCCUCUAGUUUUCUGCGCCUAGCCCAUGAGAGUAAGAAAUCCAGGAAAUUAAAUAGAAAAUAGAUUUUUAAUAUAUAAAUAAGUGCUAGAACUUGUAAAAUUUAUAGAAAAUUCAUUUUUAGUCCUAAUUACUCCAUUUCAGUUUCUAAAAUUUUGUAAUAUUCUUCUCUAUCACUUAGAGUCUCUGUUUUGACAUGAAAACAGUAAGAAAAUUUAUUUCUCACUUAAUCCUAUUUUAAGCAUAUAAAACAUUUGGAAAUUCAUAACUUAAAAUCUAUAACUCCAAAAUUUAUUAUUCCUAUUCCUAGGAUUUUAUUUUAAUGUGUAGAUUAUUAUUAUGUAUUUUUUACAUGUUUGGUGUGAUGUUAAUUUUCUCUAUAUACUGUGCUUGUUUGUAUUGUGGCGAGUAGAAGAGCCUGUGACUAAGGAUCCUGGUGCUCAGCAGAUAGAAGUUGCUGAGCAGGAGCUCAUUGAAGGCAAGUUGUGCCCUUGACCACUUUUUACCCAAUAAUAUUUUUUAAUAUCACUUAUUCAUGCAUAGGUUUAAUUUUGAUGGGACCCAAUAGGUCACCCUAGUCUGUUUAUCCAUUUUACCUUGUUUACCCCUGAAUCAUUUGGGUAGUUAUGCUAUUGCCUCACAUGGUUUUGGGUUAAUAUUUCAUUAUAUCCAUGUUCCAAUUAUUUUGUUAUUUUAUUUAUGUUCAUGUCAAGAUCAUUAAUGUUAAUUGGAAUAUGGAGCUUAACUUGAGAAACACGUGCCACCACAAGGGUGGAAUGGGACGCCCUUGGCUGACUAAUUAGGAAAGCUAGUGGAAGACUACCUUACCCGAAAAGGGCAAGGGCAGUAGGGGAGUUACAUGCAAGGAGGUUCUCGGGUUGAUUUUGCUGCGAUGGCGGUCAGACGGGGGAUUCUUGCAAGUGCUCUUCCCAUAAACUAUAGCGGGUUUUCGGAAGCUAGUGGAACUUUGUAAAGGCCUCGUAGUGUUGCCCUGCCUCGCUUCCUUAGUAGAGGUGUAUGGGAGUCGCGAUCCCUUGGCAGAUGGGUAACAUGACUUGUGGGUACAGGGUACAACCUCUGCAGAGUGUAAAACUGGUAUACUAGCCGAGCUCACGGUCAUGAGCAGCUGAGGACUCUCGCAUGAUUAAUUUAUGAAACUUAAAUUCAAUUUGUCAUUUGCAUUGCAUGGGAUUAUUUAUUAAUUUUGUUCUAUUACUUUUAUUAAGGUUUGGUAUUUACUUACAUCUAGUAACUGCUAAUAAAAUUUUGACCAACUAAUUAAAAGAAAUGCUCAGCUUUAACCCAAUUGUUGAACAGCCUUACACAUCACAUGAACUCCCACCUUUGGUGAGUUCAUGCCCACUGGUUUCCCAUAACUUGUUGAGCUAUGAUCAUGUGUGAGCUCACCCUUGCUGUCUCACACCCCCCACAGGAGAAGAACAGGUGGUUCAAGAGGAGCCACACAACGAGGAGUUUGAUCUGAUCUAGGUGGCGCUGUUUUGAUAUGAAAACAGUAAGAAAAUUUAUUUCUCACUUAAUCCUAUUUUAAGCAUAUAAAACAUUUGGAAAUUCAUAACUUAAAAUCUAUAACUCCAAAAUUUAUUAUUCCUAUUCUUAGGAUUUUAUUUUAAUGUGUAGAUUAUUAUUAUGUAUUUUUUACAUGUUUGGUGUGAUGUUAAUUUUCUCUAUAUACUGUGCUUGUUUGUAUUGUGGCGAGUAGAAGAGCCUGUGACUAAGGAUCCUGGUGCCCAGCAGAUAGAAGUUGCUGAGCAGGAGCUCAUUGAAGGCAAGUUGUGCCCUUGACCACUUUUUACCCAAUAAUAUUCUUUAAUAUCACUUAUCCAUGCAUAGGUUUAAUUUUGAUGGCACCCAAUAGGUCACUAGUCGGUUUAUCCAUUUUACCUUGUUUACCCCUGAAUCAUUUGGGUAGUUAUGCUGUUGCCUCACAUGGUUUUGGGUUAAUAUUUCAUUAUAUCCAUGUUCCAAUUAUUUUGUUAUUAUAUUUAUGUUCAUGUCAAGAUCAUUAAUGUUAAUUGGAACAUGGAGCUUAACUUGAGAAACACAUGCCACCACAAGGGUGGAAUGGGACGCCCUUGGCUGACUAAUUAGGAAAGCUAGUGGAAGACUACCUUAUCCGAAAAGGGCAAGGGCAGUAGGGGAGUUACAUGCAAGGAGGUUCUCGGGUUGAUUUUGCUGCGAUGGCGGUCAGACGGGGGAUUCUUGCAAGUGCUCUUCCCAUAAACUGUACCGGGUUUUCGGAAGCUAGUGGAACUUUGUAAAGGUCUCGUAGUGUUGCCCUGCCUCGCUUCCUUGGUAGAGGUGUAUGGGAGUCACGAUCCCUUGGCAGAUGGGUAACAUGACUUGUGGGUACAGGGUACAACCUCUGCGGAGUGUAAAACUGGUAUACUAGCCGAGCUCACGGUCAUGAGCAGCUCAGGACUCUCGCAUGAUUAAUUUAUGAAACUUAAAUUCAAUUUGUCAUUUGCAUUGCAUGUGAUUAUUUAUUAAUUUUGUUCUAUUACUUUUUAUUAAGGUUUGGUAUUUACUUACAUCUAGUAACUGCUAAUAAAAUUUUGACCAACUAAUUAAAAGCAAUGCUCAGCUUUAACCCAAUUGUUGAUCAGCCUUACACAUCACAUGAACUCCCACCUUUGGUGAGUUAAUGCCCACUGGUUUCCCCACAACUUGUUGAGCUAUGAUCAUGUGUGAGCUCACCCUUGCUGUCUCACACCCCCCCACAGGAGAAGAACAGGUGGUUCAAGAGGAGCCACACAACGAGGAGUUUGAUCUGAUCUAGGUGGCGUUUCCCGGCUGACUUUUCGCUCCAAGGAUGAUCCUUAGUUCGUUUUAUAUUUAUCUUUUAUUUUGUAAUAAGACUUCCGAUAUGUAAUAAAUACUCUGAUGUUAUUGUGACAUUUAUCUCUAUACACUCUGUUAUUAUAUAUGUUGUCUUCUUGGCGCAUGUAUCAGAUGCACCCGGCUUUGUUCCUUAAAGCCUGGGUGUUACAGUCUCUUUGCUUCUAGCACACAACGUUGAUGUCGUUGGAUUGUGAUAGUUGCGUAAACAAGAAAAAUAUUUCAUUGGACAACCUAAUUAUGCUUUUGCUACACAUACUGCUUUUCUUCCGGCUAGGAACAUCAUGGAGGGAGUGGUAGUCUUACAUGAGACUAUUCAUGAACUGCAUCGAAAGAAGUAAAAUGGGGUAAUUCUCAAGAUAGACUUUGAGAAGGCUUAUGAUAAAGUGAGGUGGAGUUUUGUUCAAUAAACUUUGCGGAUGAAAGGUUUCUCAGAUAAAUGGUGCUCUUGGAUUAAUGCUUUCAUUAGGGGUGGUCAUGUGGCAAUCAAAACAAAUGAUCAGUUGGGACAGUUUUUUCAAAUGAAAAAGGGGCUGCGACAAGGUGAUCCCUUAUCUCCUCUCUUGUUUAAUAUUGUAGUUGACAUGUUGGCUAUAUUAACCAAUAGAGUGAAACAAGUGGGUCAAUUAUCCGGCUUGGUGCCACAAUUAGUGGAUGGUGUCUUGUCGAUUCUCCAAUAUGUGGAUGACACCAUUUUAUUUAUGGUUCACGAUUUCGAGAAAGCAGUGAAUAUGAAAAUGCUUUUACGUGCUUUUGAGUAGUUAUCAGGGCUCAAAACUAAUUUCCACAAAAGUGAGGUUUAUUGCUUUGGAGAAGCAAAAACUCAAGAACAUCAAUACGCAUAGCUCUUUGGUUGCAGAAAAGGGGAUUACCCGUUUAGAUACUUAGGUUUAUCAAUGCAUUAUAGAAACUAAGUAUGGUAGAUUGGAAGAUAAUUGAGAACAAAUUCGAAAAGAAAUUAUCCAGCUGGAAAGGGAAAUACAUGUCUGUGGGUGGAAGACUAGUUCUUAUUAACUCUACCCUUACAAGCCUUGCGAUGUUUCUGACGUGUUUUUUUGAGAUCCCAAGAGGUGUUUUGGAAAAAAUGGACUAUUACAGAUCGUGGUUUUUUGGCAAGGGGAGGAUAAUGAGAAGUCACUUUAUUUUAGUAGCUUCGGCUAUAUGUUGGGCAAUCUGGUUGAGCAGGAAUGAUGCAGUGUUUGAUAAUGCUCCAAUAAAAUCUUCUUUGCAGGUGGUUUUUCGGGCUAUGCAUUGGCUCCGCUUCUAGACUUAACUACAACUUAGACAGGAUGAUCAAGAACUAAUAAUCAAGGCAUGUCGUAGAUUGGAGGAGUUGGUGAUGCAGAUUUUUAGACAUCAUGGAUGGGGAUCUGCAUGUAGACUUUGUCUUUAGUCUCGUUUCGCCGCACUAUGUUUUGCUUUUCUCCGAGUUCUCAGAUAGUGAUAUUCCUAUCUGAGUCUGUAAUAAUUCGGCUAUAGUCUCUUUGAGACAAAGGCCGGGAACUUUCAAUUCCCAUUAUCUAAAAAUGUACAUAGAAAGAGUCAACUCACAAAAAUAUAGAAAUAGUCAGCAAUGCUUGUUCGUCUUGUCUAUCAACUCCACACCAAACCAACUUUUGUCGUACACAUUUUAAUAGAUCAAGCACUUGAUAGCUUCUUUCAAUUGUCAUAUUAAAAAUUUAGAUUGUUGCUAGGCCCAUAUUCUUUUUCUAGAACAAAUUUACUUUUAUUUUGUUAUAUGAAGAAAUGUUCAAAAUAUAAAUUGUACAUCAUGAUGAGUUAUACAAAUUUGUAGUUGAAAACUUUUUCAUUUGAAUUAAUUUACUGUUUUAAAAUGUGAUUUUUAAAUUGUCUUUGCCUAGUGUUGAAAAAAAACACUUGGCAAAGAAGCUCUUCGCCGAGUGUUAAAAAAACACUCGGCAAAGAAACUCUUUGUUGAGUGUCAAAAAUAAAACACUCGGCAAAGAACUUCUUUGCCGAAUGUUUUCUUUUACCGAGGGUUUUUUCUUGGCACUCGGCAAAGAGCCGAAUUCCGGCAGUGGCCUUUAUAUUGUUUAGAUGGCCACGUUCAGUUGUUACUAUAGCUAACUAUAGACGAAGGAAAUUCAGAUAUGAGACGCAUGUCGAUAGAAAUUAAUAAUUUUUCACCGGCUGUCUAAUAGAGUCCGAUGAAAACUAAGUGAUUUCUAGCUACUUCAUAGCGGCAUUUCGUUCUUCCUUUCUCACGACUCUACUCUCUCACACAUCCAGCUCCCCCUGCUCGUGUCGUUGCUCUAUGACACCUCGCACCCGUUUGCGCCAACACCGACUUCCCUAUCCCGAGCAGUGAGUAUUGAUCAUUGCAUGGUUAAUUUAAUAUUAGUUUGGUCAACCUAGUUACAAUAUAAUAUUUGUUGGUUAGUUUUUUAUAAUUAGAUUUUACAUUUAGCUACUAGCAAUUUUUUGUGUUUAAAUAUAAUACGGUAUUAUCAAAUAAUUUCAUUUUUAAGAGCAUAUAAAAUAUUAAUAGGUUCAUAAAUUGUAUGUCAAUCGUUUCGAUCGGCAUACUUCAUAUGUGCCUCACAUGUGAGAUAUGUUGUUUUAGAAUCAUUUCUAUUUGAACGGUUUUAUGACGACUGACUAUGUGCUAUUUAUGGACAAUCUAGGUUUGCCGAGGGUGUAAAGGAAGAUGGUGAAAAGAUAAUAAAAAUUAUGCAUAAGCAACUUAAUAUUUUUAUAUAUGUCAUAUCAUCACUACUAGAAAAAUGGUCUUUAAUUUACAAACACCGAGGUGUGUUGUUACUAGAAAUGGCAAUGGAGCGUCGAUCCCUGAAUUUCCGAGGAGAAUUCCUUCAUUAGAGGAUGAGAAGUUUUUCCCCAAUGGGGAUGUAAACGGGGAAUAAUUCUCCCCGACGAGUAAGGGACAUGGAUGGCCAGUGAAUUAUUUCCCAUCCCUGUUUCCCAUGGGGGCAUUAAACUUGCACAUGACGAUGAUUUCAUGUAACAGUUAAUGAUAAAAAUAAAUAAUUACCAUAGUAAUAGAUCACUCAUUAUACAAAUGUGUUUAUUUUGAUGUAUGCAUAACGAUUUCUUACAUAGGAUAAUGUGUCUAAGUAAAAGUGUUUUGCAUUAAUAACAAAGGACGUAUGUCCUAAUUAUAAUUUAAGCAGGGACGAGUACCCCUGUCAGGGAUUUAUCCUGUGGGGAAUGAGGAUGGGUAAAAAAUGUCCUUUAUAAGCGUUCGUGGAGAUCCCUAUUGAGAAAAAUAUUGUCACGAAAACGGAAUGGAGAGCUAUUCUCCAAUAAGAAAUUUUCCGUUGCCAUCGUUAAUUGUUACGGUUGGUUUGGUGUGGAACUGAAAGAUGUAUUUAUUUCCCAAUUCACAAAAGCAAAAAAAACAUGGUCAACAAGUAAACACUGGGAAAAAUAAUCUAAUAUGACUCGUCAAUUGGUCAUGGAUGACGAUACGGAGAUUGUUGGAUAUAGUUACGACGCUAUAUGAGGUGCAAAAAGUAAUUAAAGAUAUUACUCUCAGCGGACUUUUUAAUUGCCACAGUUUAGUUUAAAAAUAAACUAGCAAGCAACAAAUAUUUGAGAACGGAGGUAGUAUAUAGAACGGUGGUGUAGUUUAAUUUCUCGUUGUUGACUUCUUUUUUCGGGGUGGGUAGGGGGAGGGGUGACUCUUUCAAUAUACGUUGGUGAGCACAAGAUUAGAGGCAUGUUUGGUUCGCUGCCUAACUUACUAUAUUUUAUCUAACUUUUUUGCCUAAGGUUAGUUCUUGAAUUCGGACCACUAAUUUUAAGUAAAGUGUGGCACAGUUAGCCACUAACCAAAUAGGCCCUUGAUCGUUCAAUAAACCAUUUUUCUUGUUUACGCAACUAUCACAGUCCAACAACAGCAACACGGUCUUCAAAAAAUUGAAAGGACAGAGUACACGAAAAGCAUGGUAGGUUUAAACGUUCAAUUAAGAUAACUGUAUUGUUUUAUGGGCAGGUUCUAGAUGCUGGAGACUACUUCAAGUCAGCUGAUUCAUGUCGGCAUGCUAGAGAGACGGGUGUAAUAACCGUAGAUUACAUCAUGUCUGAAAGGAACCUUGCUGCUCCUUUCACCAAAGGAGUGGCUCAAAAGCCAAUCCAAGCAGCGUGCAUGGGAAUGAGACUCGUACCCUGUUAGCGGUUUUAACUGCGGAUAACUGUCCUGUGUGACCGGAGGUCCCGAGAUCCAGGCUCCAGGAAACGAAGCACUGUGGAACCAAGAGCACAAAAGAUGAAGAGUCUCAUGAGCUGUUGUGCUCUGUCUGUAUGGCAGGUUGAGCGAUAUGCUCUUAAUGAAGUCAAUGCUAUAAGCAGGGAAAUUGUCCUACAGAAUUUCCUUAAUGAUUUCACCUAUAUGAGCUGACUGUGGGGUCGCAGUCGGGGAGAGAAUGGGGUUUUCUCUCUAGUGAGCUCAUGAAUAGAUAUUAAAGGGCAUGACCGUAACGCCUUGCCCCAUAAGAGAAGUAGAUAAUCUACCUAGUACUAUGUGCCUUUUGUGCGAAGAUUCUCACACUAGGGUUUGUGGAUCAAGGCGUAGUCAUCCGCUUACUCGUGCAGGGUUGGAGUACAUUGGGAUAGGCUUUGGUUCAAACCUAACAAGUACCUCUGCCGAAAAGUAGUAUGUAAACAGUACGAGAGCUCAAUGACAUUGAUCAGAAAAUAAGAGUGAAAAUGGUGGGGAUUGCUGUCCACUUUGAAGAUUUUCACUUUAUUUGAAAAAAAAGAGAAGGAAGGCUGGGUGGGCCGCUACAAGGCCGGGUGGCCGAGCAACCCACCAAGUAGCUCAUUCCUAGGGCAAAUGGAAGCUGAGGCUGGUAGUCCGUGCGUAGGAGAAGAGUAGUCGUAGGCUCUGGCCGCGGCGCGGUUCUGGCUCUAGUGAUUCGACGCCCGCCGAACUCCAUGCUGAUCCCUGCACAACUGCCUGGCGGCCGUCUCCUUAAGAUGGGCGAGCGCUCCUCUGGCUUUGGUUAAGUUCGCUCUGCCGUUCUUCCUCCUCUCUACUAGCUUGCUAAUCCUGUGACGAAUUCUACCGGUUCGCUCUCGUGUGCGUCUCACGGGUAAGCAAGUGAAAGAGGGAAGAUUUGCCUUUGCGCUCAUCGAGUUUGGCAUAUCUGUGCUCUGUUGCCGGAAUCGUGCAUUUGUGUGGUGUUGCAGUUCUUCUCUGAUCUCUGUCCACCGUGGCCUAGUGCUUGGGCUCCCUGCUGCGCGGUGUUCUUCUUCUCGGUCUAGUGUCGUGGACGUCUCCCACGGCCUCAGCAGCGGCUCUAGUAUCUCUGUCAACCUCCCGUCGUGCAGGUCCGGACGUGGGCGGUGGAAUUGGUUUUCUGGGACAGAACCUUGUGUUCGCUGCGCUGGACUUCCCACGUAGACAAUCUACAUGCUGUGAGUUACCUGUUGCCUCUCUAUAUUUAUUGAGUAAUUUUGUGCAAUCUGCUAGUAUCAUUUACUUGGGUGUGAUUGCACAAUUUGUGGGCGGAUUUAAUUGCUCGAUGAUGAUAGCGGUGUAGUGAGACGACGUGACAGUCUGGGUUUUAGUGUGUUGUUAUUUUCAGCAUUGAUAUUUUUUGUGCCUAAUUAUAUCUCUAUUUGUUAAGGUUGUUUACCUGUGUUAAAUUCUGUUAUUUUAUUUAGUACACAGCUCCUUACUAUUAAUAUUUAUACUUGAUUAUUAGGCUUAUUACAUCUGAUCUAAAACCCUGAUUUGGUAAGAUAGGACUGACACGUUAGUCGAGAAUCUCUGAUCACCAUUUAGCGUUGGAGGGCUGUUUAUUACAGCAACCCGCUAUUUUGAGAGCAAUGUAAAAAGAUAAACAAUAAUGUUUAUGUGCAAAAUCUGUCUUCUUCAUCUGCAAGUCAUGUUUAAUUUUGAAAUGGACAUGAGCAACUAUUUUAAAUGUUUACAUGUCCUAAAAUUGCUAUUGUUCAUUGCUGCUAUAAUUACGUAUGGCACUUAUCUGAGUUAUAUGUUUGUUUUAUUCGAAAUUAGAAUAUUUAAUAUAUUUAAAUAUGAUGGAAGAAGCAUGUCACUUAUUUCUCUAAUAUUACAACAGCUAUUGCCAUCUAUAUAUCGUAGUUGCUGCUCUGUUAGCUUUAAUUGUAAAUAGGCAAUGGAUAAUUUAUGCAGCAACUUAGAUGUCAUUAUUAAUGUUGUCUUGUUAGUGGUUGAUUUACUAUGACUUCAUUUCUCUUUACCGAGUUGGUUAUUGAAUUUAAUAUAAAAUUAUAUGUACUCCCCUGUCCUAAAUUAAAAUUCGUUUUAGGUAAUUAAUAGAUUCAUAUAAUGUUUGCUCUAUGUAUUUUAUAUAUGUGUCUAGAUUCAUCGCUAUACAUUUUAAUAUAGACAUAAAACCCAAGAGCUAAAAUAAAUACUAUUUUGGAACGGAGGGAGUACAUUAUAUAGAAUUGUAUGUAAAAGUUUUAUCGUGGCACACCACUACACCAAAAUGCUUAACUUCCUAGGGCCUAAACCGUAGGAAGUUAGUGCAAAACUCUCGGAAGUUAUACAAACCGUCGGAAGUUAGCCGAAACCGUCGGAAGUUAGCCCGUCGGAACAAAUUGGUCGGAAGUUAGGGUAACUUCCGACGGGCUCUCGGAAGUUAAGGAAACUUCCGAGAGGGUCGUCCGCCUCUCGGAAGUUAAUGAUUAACUUCCGAGAGGGCGCUUCCCUCUCGGAAGUUAAGUGCUGAUGCCGUCCAGCACGGGGCUAACGCCGUCCAGGAAUAACUUCCGACGGCCUCUCGGAAGUUAACCAUUAACUUCCGAGAGUUUGCUAUUCCUCUCGGAAGUUAAAUUGACCAGCACUAAAUAUACAAUUUGUUUUUGGUAAUUCAACACAUUACAUACAUAACAAAUAUAUAUAACAGCCACAAUACACAACAUAUCACAUAUAACAUCUCACUUACAUAAUAACAACAUAAGAAUUCACAAGUCUCACAAGACACAAGUCUCACAAGUCAAAUCCACCUCGACAUAAGAAUUCACAAGUCUUACAAGACACAAGUUUGAAGUCUCACAAAACACAUCGAAUGGAAGCCCACUACUGUCGAUCAACAUUAGGAAAUAGCGAAGAGUGAUGCUCGCUACCUCCACUCGCGAAGAGCGUAUUGACAAAGUCUAACCCAUCAUCUUGUUGCUGUGCCGACAAGGUAGCUGGAGGAGUCUCAUAUACCUAUACAAAUGACAUUCACGGAGUUACAUCGUAAUGUAGCAAGUAAAUUAUGAUAAAUUUGCAUACCUGAUGUUCGGUAGGUGGAGGUGGAGGUGAAGGCCAAGGAAAAUGUAUGGAAGGUGGAGGUGGGGGGGCCAUCGAAAACUAUAUCCCUUGGGCUUGUGCUAGUUGCUACCAAAUUUCCGAACACAUUAAUGUCAGUGUUUUAAAUCAAUACAUAACUUAAAAUGAAUGAUCUUUUUGAACUUACUUGUAUCAGUGCUUGCUGUUGUUGAAACUGAGUAGCAUAGUAUUCUUGUUGAGCAGCAUGUUGCCUCAAGUAUUCCUCCUGAACCCUUUGCCGCUCCUGAUGUUGCCUAAGCUCUUCUCGUAGUUGCUCAACUUCUGCAGUAUCCUGAGUAGAGCGACGGGAGCUACAAGCAGCAGACCUCGACGAACCUCCCCUCUGAACCGUCACCUGGCUCGAGUCGAUGACGUUAUCGAAAAUCAAGUACCUUCAAACAAGUAACAUCACGACAGAUUCAAAAAUAAUCUAUUGUACUUAAACCGAUGAAACAAGAUAAGGUAUGUAGAGUCCACACCUUCCAUGGGGUUUUCCACCACUUGCAUACACAGCCUAAGGAUCAAUAGGUGCGGUCCUCCAGUCAUAGUCCGAUCCGUGUUGACUAGACAUCGCCUCAGCAUAUGCAGCCUCCAUACAAAAGAACAAUGCAAUCUUACAUCACUGGGCACAUACAUAAAUUCAUAUGAACAAAAUCUACCAAGCAUUUCAAAACACUCACCAGACGAUCUGUUGCCUUUUGGCUACACAACACAUCUGGAUUUGCAGGAUCUGAUCCUCUGUGCCCCCUCAGGUAUAUUUGAACAUCACUAGGCACUACACCACUGCUAGCUUCCUGUACGUACAUUUGACAAACAUUAUAAUCAGAAAUGACAUCAAGUCAUAUACAAUCAACAAAACUACACCACUGCUAGUUUCCUGUACUUACCAUUCGUUUUGCCAAACGAAAGUGAUCAUCACCUCCAUACUUGUGAUACGACUCGGUUCCAUGAUUGGAACUUUGUCGUAUAGACUUUGCCUUGAAAUUAUCCGAAGCCCAAUAACGGCAUAAGGCACGCCAAGCAGCAUCAUUGGCGGCUAUCCAUGGAAUCGAAUGCUACAGAAACACAAUUCAUUUAUAAGUAACUGUAACAUAUACAAGGAACAUAGUACAUCAUAUGCAAAAACAUCAAUUUUUUCCAACAUAAGCAAAAACAUCAAUUACGUGAAGAAAAUCUUGCUCAGUCAUAGAAAGUCCAUAUUGUGAUGCCUCGCUCUUACUGGUUGCACGUCGUCCUUCACUACUCAACAUAGCUUGAUUAAUCACCUGGAUUCGAACAUAGUACAUCAUAUCCGCAACAACAUCUGUCACGUUCUUAUGGAACACGGAGUGUGCAUGCUCGGUAUGAGUAUCUCCAUCAGGCAACUUAUAAUAUUUCUGAAAAAGAAACAUAGUCAAGAAUCCAUAAUAUGAAUCAAUCAUUGAGCUGAUAACUCGCAAGAAGAUAGAUAAACAUACCCAGAAGUCGUGCCAAACUGCACCUUGCGCAUUCCCAUGUUGCGCGUUAACCGCAAGGCCGUAUUGAUCCCAUCUUGUGACAGGGACCUCAAUACCAUCCUCAAUCACCAAUCCAAGCCAUCUCAUACGACAGAUAUUGCCCAACACUUUAUUUACUUGCCUUACACGAUCUUUGCCGGUGAAACUACUAUCCAGCCAAGCCCUAACAACACAAGCACAAUUGUCAAAUUCAAAAAAUAAUUGUUUAUCCUCAAUGUGUAAGACAUAAGAACAAAGCAAAGAUGCUCUUACCCAUCUCCACUCGGGAUUAUCUCAACCUUGUUAACUGGUUCUUUAGGAGGGGGAACCCAACUAGUCUUCCGCGGCUUCCGGACCCGUGAAGACCCUCCAACUCCCCCGCUUCCAGAACCUCCUCUUGAAACACCAGCUUCCCCUUCCCUUGACCCACUAGCUCCCCCAACUCCCGACCCUCCAUCAUUGGGCCAUUCACCCCACCCUGUCUCCACCUCCCUACCCUGGACAUCCUCAUCAUCUUCCACUUGUCUCCACUCCUCUGUCUCUUCCUCAUCUUCAGGCUCAUCCUAUAGAUCAAAAUUAAUAAUUUAGUUAUUCGAACUCAUACAAAUAUUACAUUACAAAACAAAUAUAUUGGUUACCUCAUCCUCUGUACGCUGACUGCCUGACCCUGCAACUCUGGAACAUGCUCCAACAAAGCUCUACGCAUGCUCGAGCUUGAACUAGUGCCCUAGAACACUAAGUCCUCCUUUCUCCCAAAAAUGGAGGCUCUCCUCGCUAGUCCCUUAGUGAGCUGCUUGACCUUUUUAGACAUCCUGUUAUUAAAACAAAAUCAAAUUAGUAAUUGAGCAUAAUGUAAAUGAACAUAAUGUAUUGAAAUGAACAUAAUGUAUUGAAAUGAACAAUAAAUAUAUAAUUACUUUUUAGUCGUAUUCAAAAUCAGGAUCAAAUUGUUUUCUUCGAUUCGAUGUUUUCUUCUUUGACUUCCGUUUCCAUUUUUUGGGACUUACUACAUCUUUAGGAUCUCCCACUAAUGAUUCUGGCAAAACCUCAGUAUCUAUAUUAAAAUUGGUCGGAAGUUCAUCUUCUUGGUAAAUUUCUUCAACUUCCGCCUCGAACCAUUCACGAUUGGUGUGUAACUGUUCACGAGGAUUCACUUUGUACACUACCCAUGUGGCUUCCAGCUUUAUAGAUGGAUACGAUAUGUAGUACACCUGGUCAACUUGGUGAGCAAGAACAAAUUUGCUACAUGCACUUGUUUUGAGCUCAUGUUUGACUUCUACCAUGCCAAAUUGGUUUUCUACAGUCCCUUGAUUGGGAUCAAACCAAUCACAUUUGAAAAACACCACCUUAAGAUUUUUGCUCCCGGCGAAGUCGUACUCGAGUAUGUCAUUAAUAACUCCACAAUAGUUCAUCUCUCUUCCACGAUCAUCGACUGCCCUGCAUACAACUCCAGUAUUUUUUAUCGCCGCAAAUGGACGAGUACAUUCAAAUUUGGUCGAACGAAAACGAAACCCCUUAAUGUCGUAACGACCGUAGCUUCUGACUUUUACGAUUGCGUAAGACAUCUGAAGCAAGUCCUCGUCUAAAUUUGGAAUUUUGUCACACUGCCAAUCAGAUGGUGAAAUUAGAUUUCUAAAACAAAAUAUAUAAAGUAGAACAAGAGUGUUAGGUUAUUUACAUAAUUUCGAAACCAAUUAAUGAAAUUGGGCUUCCCAUGUCUUCCUCGAAGCGCGUUUUCAUACUGCCUCGAGGACAAUUUCUCAUUAAGAUGCGAUUGGAAUUCUCUGUUACAACAAGUAAACAAAUGAGGUGCGGAACACGAUUACUACAAGUAAACAAAUUGAAAUAUGGAGUCAUCUUACUUGAAAUAUUGAGUCAUUUCAUCCAUAUUUUCAUACAUAUAGAGCAAAGCGUCCAACUUUUCUUCGCGCUCAAGAUGAUAUUCUGUGGAUGCCCCGACAGUCUUGCCCUCAAUCUCAAAAAUUUGGAGAUUGCUGCGGGUCCCUACUUUGUCAUCAUGAUACCUCAAUGUAGGGGCAUUGAUAUUGUGCUCGUCUGCAAAGUAUACACUCGUGAAGGCUGCUACCUCUUUAUAUUUGAAUUUUUCAGCUAUACACCCUUCAACUCUUCCUUUGUUACCAACCAUUGAACUAAGCUUCUUUAAUGCCCUUUCAAUAUGGUACAUCCACCUGUAUUGCACAGGACCACCAACCUUAGCUUCAUAUGGAAGGUGGACAAGUAGAUGUUGCAUUGGAUUGAAGAAUCCUGGGGGGAAUAUUUUUUCCAACUUGCAUAUAAGGACAUGAAUUUCUGUCUCCAACUUCUCCAUCACGUCUUUGUUUAUUUCUUUAGCACAAAGUUGCCUAUAAAAGUAGCUUAACUCAGCUAAAGACUGCCAGAUACUGACUUUCAAGUACCCACAGAACAUUAUAGGGAGGAGCCUUUCCAUCAUUAUAUGAUAAUCAUGGCUCUUCAAUCCAGUUAUUUUAUUUGUCUUUAAGUUCACAGCUCUCCUAAACCCAGCCGCAUAACCAUCUGCGAAUUUCAAAUUUUUCAACCAUUCCAUUACUUCUUUCUUCUGUUUAGGUUUUAGACAAAAUUGAGCAUGUGGCUUUUUUUCAUUUUCGUCGAGUUCCUGGGUUGGUCGGUUACAAUGUUUUGCUAAGUCCUUUAUGGCCUUUAUAUUGUCUUUUGUUUUGUCACCUAGAUUCAUCCAAGUACUUAGAAUGCUUUCACCAACAUUACAUUCCUGAUGCAUGACGUCAAUGUUAUGCAUCAGAAUCAAUGCCUUAACAUAAGGUAGACCCCAUAAACCACAUUUAUGUGUCCAGUUAUGCUCGGUUCCAAAACCUAUGUAUCCAUCACCACUUUCAUUCUCUUUCAAAUUAGUAAGCAUAGCCUCAAUCUCUAUUCUGCUAAGACGCCUGGGCGGUCCCUUUGUCACGAUAGUGCCCUUCUUAAAGGUGUUAACCUCGAACCUAUACGGGUGUUUUUGGGGUAAGAAGCAUCUGUGGCAGUCAAAGUAACAGAUCUUCCCUCCAAACUCAAGGCGGAAACAAUCUGUAUCCUUGCCACAUAUUGGACAUGUCAGAGUUCCAUGGCAGCUCCAUCCAGCAAAUAAACUGUAUGCCAUGAAAUCAUGAACGGACCACAAAUACGCAACUCGAAGUGUGAAUAUCUCGUUUUUGUAGCAAUCGUAUGCUUCGACUCCUUUCCAUAACUUUUUGAGAUCAUCGAUCAAGGGUUGCAUCAUCACAUUCAGCCCUUUCCCAGGAUGGUCUGGACCAGGAAUAAUUAGGGAAAGAAACAUGUAAUCAUAUUUCAUGCACAGAUGAGGUGGAAGGUUGUAUGGAAUCACAAAUACAGACCAACAAGAAUAUGAUGUUGCGUUCGUAUUGAAAGGUGUGAAACCAUCUGUCGCCAACCCAAUUCGAAUAUUUCUCGCUUCACUAGCAAAUUCUGGAUCAAAGUCAUCUAGAUCCUUCCAUGCAUCACUGUCAGACGGGUGUGUCAUCACAUGAGUGUCCCCUCGUUCACGUUCUUUAUGCCAUCUCAUGUGCCUAGCUGUGUUCCUCGAAAGAAACAAACGCUUAACACGAGGCACAAGAGGCAUAUAACGAAGUUGCUUUUGGGCUACAGUUGAUGUGACCAUUUCACCAUCAUCGUUUUUAACCUCUACAUAUCUCGACUUGCCACACUUUAGACACUUACUAUCAUUCUCAUGGUCCUUCUAGAACAGCAUACAAUUAUCUGGACAGACAUCGAUUUUCUGAUAGUCCAUACCUAGACCAGAGAGCAGUUUCCUGCACUGAUACACGUCUUUCGGCAUCUUGGGAUUUGGUGGAAACACAUCGCUGAUUAAGCUCAAGAGCUCAUUGUAACAAUUGUUCGAGAACAUGAACUUAGACUUAAUAGCCAUAAGUCGAGUCACGAAAGCAAGGAUGGAAACUGUUGUGUGUUCGUGCAACGACUCUUCUGCAGCCUUAAGAAGGUCGAAGAACUUUUUAACCUCUGGAGGAGGCGCCUCCUCAGGAUUUGGUGGAAACACUAAAUCAGGAUCCCCCCUUAAAUCUUCAAGCAUCUCAUCCAUUCUAUCGUAUUCUACGUCGUCAUUGUUGUGGGCUUCCGAUGCAUUUUCACGGGCAAACUCCUCGCCGUGAUACACCCAGACUUCAUAGUCAGGCAUGUAGCCAUAUUUGCAAAGGUGUCCUGACAGAGUUCUCUUGUCUUGACAUCUAUAAAUACGACACAUACUACAUGGACACCGCACAUCUGUGCCAGUUCUUGACAAAGUAAAAGCACGAGCAAUAAAAGUCUCUGUCUUUCUUAUCCACUCUGCUGAGGGAUCAUUCAUACGUCAACCUUCAUACAUCCAUCGACGGUCCUCACCCACCAUAUUUGAUGCUAAAACAGUAGAACAUAUGAUUCACCCAUAAGAGACCGCUAGAGCAACGAUUUAUGACACAUAAGUUCCGCAACAUUACGACAAUUUUGCGAAAAUAUUACUAAUCUGUAACAAACAACAUGGUAACAUAAUUAUAUUAUAUGCAACAGUUAGCUUCUCAAGUUGAUUAGCCUAAUUGACAUAAUUUCCUACUGUUUAAAAUUAGUUGACUCUCGGAAGUUAGUAUAUUUAAUAAAAAAAAUAAAUACAAACACUCGGAAGUAAUUACCUGAAGCGACGAAACGGUGAAGCGACGGGCGGCGGUGGCGGGGCGGCCGAGCAGACGGCGGUGGCGGGGCGACCGAGCAGCAGGCGGGCGCACGGGCCGGGGUGGCGGUGGAGUCCGGGGCGGCGGCGGCGGUGGAGUCCGGGGCGGCGGUGGCGAGCGGGACGGGCGGGCGUGGGGCGGGCGAGCAGCCGGCGAGCGGCGUGGCGGACUGGCGAGCAGCAGGCGGGGGCGCGCGCGACGGCGAGCGGUGGAGCAGCGAGCGGCGGAACGGCGAGCGGCGAGCAGAGUAGCGGCGGCAGCUGCAAAAUGGAAGACGGAACAGAGACGGGCGCGCGCGCGCCGUUUCCUAAAAACAUAACUUCCGAGAGGGCACUGUGCAGGCCGUCGGAAGUUAACCCUACAGCGACCGGUCAACGGCCUCAGUACGUAACUUCCGAGCGGCACUGUGCAUGCCGUCGGAAGUUAACGUACUUCCGAGAGGCCCUCAGAAGUUAACGCAACUUCCGAGAGGCGUUGUGCCAGCCGUCGGAAGUUAACGUAACUUCCGAGAGGCGCUGUGCCAGCCGCCGGAAGUUAACGUAACUUCCGAGAGGCCCCAGUAGCCUCUCGGAAAUUAUUAAUUUCCUACGGUUUUGAAAAAAACCCGUCGGAAGUUAUUGGCCUCUCGGAAAUUGAUUAUUUUGGUGUAGUGCACCCUAUAUAAAAAACUUAGGUCCGCCGUUGACUGAAAGAUGUAUUUAUUCCCUAAUUCGCAAAAGCAAAACAAAACAUGAUGAACAAGUAAACACUGGAAAAAAUAAUCUAAUAUGACUCGUCAAUUGGUCAGGGAUGACGAUACGGAGAUUGUUGGAUAUAGUUACGACGCUAUAUGAGGUAGUAUAUACGGCGGUGGUACACUUUAAUUUCUCAUUGUUGACUUCUUUUUUUGGGGUGGGUGGGUGGGGAGGGGGUGACUCUUUCUAUAUACGUUGGUGAGCACAAGAUUAGAUCGUUCAAUAAACCAUUUUUCUUGUUUACGCAACUAUCACAGUCCAGCAACAGCAACACGGUCUUCAAAAAAAUUGAAAGGACAGAGUACACGAAAAGCAUGGUAGGUUUAAACGUUUAAUUAAUAUAACUGUAUUGUUUCAUGGACAGGUUCUAGCUAGAUGCUGGAGACUACUUCAAGUCGGCUGAUUACUAGACAUUUAAAAUUCGGAUCACCUACUAUGUGAUUACUAGAAAUCUUCAACACGUAUGCAUGGUUUAAACGCUGAAAUAAGAUAACUGUAUUGUGUCAUCAGCAGGUUCGGGCUGCUAGAGACUAUUUCUAAAGGUCGGCUGAUAUGUUCAACCAAAGACUUAUUCAGCCACUGAUACAUACACGUCGCCACAUGCGCUGUGGCAGGCUAUAUAACCUCACCAUCUACAUGCCCAAAGCAUCAACAACAUACACACAAGCAAAACAAUAAGCUAAGAAGCUCCGUAGCUAAAUUCAGAUAUUCCAACACAAAAGGGGAGUGCAGAACCAAAAUGGCUGCCUCGACCUUCCUUCUCGUUGCUUUUCUAGCAUUGAUCACUUCUCAGGCCAUUGCCUCUAAUCCUAGCCCGCUCCAAGACUUCUGUGUUGCCGAUAAAGACUCUCCGGGUAUGAGUGCUCUCCUUUUGACUCAAGCAGUGUUCUUAUAAUAUAUACCUGAUUAAAUAAGGAUCAUUUGUUCAAACACACAUCUACAUACAAUAAGCAUUUCGAGGGUAUAUAUGCAUGUCCUAUUAACCUGUUCUCCAUCUAACUGUUUGUCUUCGUCUAUGCAUGCAUCCAGUGAAGGUGAAUGGAUUUGUUUGCAAGGACCCUAUGGCUGUGAACGCUGACGACUUCUUCAAGGCUGCAAAACUUGACCAGCCAAGGGACACCAGCAAAAGCAAGGUGGGAUCCAACGUUACUUUGAUCAAUGUCAUGCAGUUGCCUGGACUCAACACGUUGGGGAUCUCGUUGGCUCGCAUUGACUACGCACCAUUAGGUCAGAAUCCUCCACACACACACCCACGUGCCAUUGAGAUUCUCACCGUGCUUGAGGGGACACUCUACGUCGGAUUUGUCACCUCCAACCAAGCUGACAGAAGCAACAAGCUAUUUGCCAAGGUUCUCAACAAGGGCGAUGUGUUUGUAUUCCCCCAAGGACUAAUCCACUUCCAGUUCAACCCAGUACAUGACAAGCCAGCAGUCGCGCUCGCUGCUCUAAGUAGCCAG
Molecule: long non-coding RNA, 64401 nt
Filed under: Zea mays
Lineage: Eukaryota; Viridiplantae; Streptophyta; Magnoliopsida; Poales; Poaceae
Description: long non-coding RNA (ZMAY_LNC002204)
Source: RNAcentral